AGAAACAGAAAACAAAGAAAGAGUAACUAAACUAAAUAAAAUCCUCAUAUACUCAAUACCAGAUUAAAAUUACAACUUUAGUUUCAGCUACAAAAGAAGAUUUAAUUUAACCAAACUGUAUCAUUCCACUAAACUAUCACAACAUGAGUUGUCAAAAAAAAAAAAAAAAGUUUGUGGCUAAGAAAAUUCAACCAUACAAGAGCAGACACAUUUCCCAAGAGCUAAGAAAUUAAUGUAUGGUAAGUGUAGAAUAGGAAAGAAAAAGCACAAAAAAAGAAUAAAAUUGAUUAAAAGGUAUUAUAAAGCAAAAGGGAGUGUAAAUGGAGAAAAUGAGAAUGGGAAAAUCAGCUUCCAUAAAAAAAAUAUUACUCAAGAAGCAAGAAAAGGAAAAAAGAAAAACAAAUGUUAACCUUAAAAUUAAAGUGGAAUCUACCAAAAAAGAGAUAAAAUUUCAAUGAUUUUACUAAUUAAUAUGAAUAAAGCUUACAAAUACAACUCCUAUAGAAAGAGAGAAGAAAAAAAACAUAAUUCCACACUAGUCUUAAAACUUAGCUAAUAAUAAAAUAAAUAAAUUCUAGCUAAAAUCGUAUCUGAAAAUUCCAAUAAUAAAUCAUUCUUCCUCUUUUAAAGCCAUAAUUGAUAUUUAAUAAAAAAUUUCCUCUCUUUGACGCCUUCAUGCCAAUUUUGAACUGAUUGCUUUUCUUUAUUUUUCUUCGUAGGAAUUUACCAAUAAUUUGUCCUACAUUAAAUGAUAAUGAAAAUUUUAUUGUAGUAAGUGGGUAUCUCAUUCGACCAAAACAAAAAAAGUGGGUAUCUCAUUCGACCAAAAAAAAAAAAGGUAUCUCUAGUACUAUUAUAAUAAUCUUGCUCAUAUUGUGUUUAUGUAAUCCCUUAUUAAACCGAGUUAAAACUUGGCAUUAAGUUCCAUGAAAAAAUAUUUUAGCAAUCCUUGUAUACAACAAUUGGUCAUGUGAUUAUGAUGUGAAGAGUGGCUACGUGAGACUCAUUGUAUACUCGAGAUUUUUGAGAAAAAUGUCAACUAUGAGAAGCACAAUGGGUCCAAUACAUCAUUGACCAAUUGGCAACCUACUUGACAUUUAGAAUUCGCAUUCAUUGUUUGAGCUCUUAAAUAAACGACAUCAAAAGAAGAAAGAGUUUCAUAAAACGGGAAUAAUACUAUUUUGCUAUUCUUAAUUAGUGACACUAUAACAUGUGUGAUGAGAGUUUAUAAAUUUGGCUUAAUAAAGAUAACUUCACUUGUUAUUACAUUUCAUUCUCACCAAAUGGAUUUAUGAAUUUUCUAUAUUUAAUGUGGUGAACUUAUUAAGUGAAUUUAUCUUUUGUAGGAAGUUGGAAAUCCAAAAGAUGAAAAUAUAUAUUUGUCCAAGUUCAAGCCAAGUGUGAAGAGAAUUGCUGGUGGAUUUUAUUGAAGAAUUGAUUGUGAGAUUAUUGUGAUUAUAAAGAGAAGUAAAGAGGGAGAAGAGAAGAUAAAACCGUUGAAGCUAAAGAGCCCAUUUCAUGUCAUUCAUAGCCAUUUAGCGCCCACUACCUCACUGUUAUUUCUUUUUCACUAACUCUCCACCAUUAACACAUGUUUAAUCCAAUUAAUCCCUCACUUAAACCUUUCAUUACCCACUUUGAAUGUAUUAAUUUUCCACUCACCUCAUUGACUACUAUAAAUCAACCAUUAAUUUAUUUGGCAAGGACACCACUACGACAUAUUUCUUUAUCCAUUCCAUUUAAAAUGUAGUUAUGUUUUUCUUUGUAAUGAGUUGUUAGAACUCUAGCCAAGGCUAAAGUGAAUGUUCUUUGAGUAAGUCUGUGAAUUAUUCUUUAAUCCAAUAUACAGUAUGAAUUGCUAAAUCUUUUAUUUUUGGUUGCUCAAUAUUUUCAUAUCCUUUUAUUUUGAUUGAUGUUAAAUGCCACUAUCUUUUCAUUAAUUCAAUUAUAUUUUUCUCAUUGUUAAGAAUUGACUUAGCAUGCUUUUAAAUUAAAAGAUUAGAUAUUAUGCAAUUCCAUUUUUUGAACAAUCAUUAAUAAAAGAUAACAUUGAAAAAUUAAAUUAGUUUCAAUUUCUUUAUUCCAGUUAAAGUUGCUCAAUGAUAAUCUUAAUCAAGUUAUAAGUUGGAUUAAAGAGCAUGAAACAUAUUUUGCUUAAAGAAUUGAACCUUGAUGCCUUAACAUUUCCAUUAUUGAUAAUUCAUUUUAAAACCCAAUCUCUACAACACUCAAAUCAAAUUACUUUUCCAUUUUGCUUGUCACUUUUAUUUUGGUAUUUUUAAUUAUUUCUUUGUGUGAAGACUUUUGCCUACCUUCUCCUUGAGAAUACGAUGCUUGGACUUCCAAGAUUAUUACUACAUGUGACUACUUGCACUUGCGUAGACUCAACAUUGACCAAUAUCAAGUGGCAACUUACUUGACAUUUAGAAUGCGCAUUCAUUGUUUAAGCUCCUAAAUAAAUGGCAUCAAGAGGAGAAAGACUUCCAUAAAACGGGGAUAACACUAUUUUACUAUCCCCAGUCAAUAACGCUAUAACACGCGUGAUAACACUUUCACAUAGCAUAGCAUUAUUAGCAAAAUAAUACCAUCUCCGUUGCAACUAAACUUUUGUCGCAUCAAGAGAGGAGGAACCUUUUAGGCAUUGUUCUUGUUGGUCUCAACAAGAGUGAAUUUUUCAACAAGAGGAGAGGAGAGGGAGAGCGCAGAAGAUUUCAGUUGAAUUUUUUAUAUCAUAGAACCUUGUUUUUAUCUUCUUUGUUUUUUUGAAUAGUUUGGCAAGAAGUAUGUUAUUAAAAGAUUUUAGUUGAAUUGGGUUCUUUCCACUACAAGGCAAAGGCUUGGCUUAUGAGUGGGUUGGUGAGUCUACAAUUUGGUCUCACAUCCUCUUCUAUUAUUCUCCUUUGAUGGUACCAUUACCAACCCUACCAACCUCAGUCAAAAAUAAAUAAAUCAUUUCCAACAUGUUUAAUUAAGGAUAAAAUUACUUUAAAACCAUUAAUCUUAGCUUAAGCCAUCGUCUUAACUGAAUCAACUGUUAAUCCAAAUCGAAGAUGCAAAAAGGACCCACAGGUGGCAUGAUCCAAUCGAUGUGAAGCGUGGCUUCGCACUACUCUCAUGUGAUUAUAAUAAGCAAUGUCAAUUUCAUGGAACAUGCUUUUAUUAAAUUUGAAAAUUCAAUUCAAUCAAGGCCUUUAAAAAUCAAAGUCACAUGGACGUGUUUAGUGGUGACACCUCAAAACAUUUACUCAACAAGGACGUGGUCUGGUGGUAGACCUUAUUGUCUUUUUCUAUUUCCCUUUUUAUUCCAUAUAUAAUUGAUUGUUAAUAUCAAAUUCACUUUUGUUGUUGGCUAUAGUUUUUUAAAGCAUAAUGUCAUCACAAAUUUCCAUUGCACCGAUAGUGACAGUCACUUACGUAUGCAUAUGUAGUUAUUUAUAGUAAAUUUAUUUGUGCAUUAAAAUAAGACCUAUAUCAUCAACAGUUAAUAAUUAUUCAUACAUGAAUAUGUGAUUAUCUUUAACAUCGUUCAAUCCUGACAUCAAACAUUAGUUCAAUAUUUCAUGCACUAAUUAUAGCUCUCUGUUUGGAUGAGAGAAAAUAACUCUAAAUUUAGCUAAAAGUAGGUAUUUAAGAGGAGAAGUUGACAAUUUCCAUAGUGCGAUUUACAAAAUUCGACAUACAUAAAUUCAUACACUGAAAUUUUUAAUUGACAAAAAUUAAAAUGAUGGAAAUAUAAAUUCCAUCAUUUUAGAAUUCUAUGUAAUUUUCAAUUUUUUCAUCCAAAUGCAGAGUAGUAAUUCAAUAAUUUAUGAGCUAACUACAUAAAUACUUCUAUAGUUUGGAGGGUUUUAUAUAGUUAAUCGAUAAUCGCUGAAGCUGGUCGAUAAAAAUCAAUCAGUCAAUUUAUGGCAAGCCCAUUAAGAGCCCACAAAUUGCAGAUCAAAGCCCAAAUUGCGAAGCCCAAUAAAGAGUCAGCAACGUGUCGGUGGUUGAUAAAGGAACGUCAAAGCUUAAAGCAACAGAAAACGACAUGUGAGGUGCGUUUGUGAGCAAUCUACGUAACACUUGUAGCUAUCUCCUCUUCUACACGUCUUUCUCUUCACAACUUUAUCUUUAUAUAUAAAAAAGAAAGUCCCCCCAUUUUCCAUGAUUGAUUUUCUUUUGGACUUUUUAGCCUCUCGCAUACGAAAAAGGGUAAAACUUUAUGGGGAAGAUCAAGCCUUUCAAGCAGGAGUUCUCAUUCGGUUUGAUUUUUCCCUCCUUUUUGAUUUCAAUCAUUUACAGAAAGGCGUUUUUCUUGUAAUUUUUAUGAUGGUUUUGAUGGUUUUGAUUCAGAUGAACGACUUGAAGAAUCGAAAAGUAUCAUCGCAAAAUACCCAGAUCGAAUUCCGGUUAGUUUUCAUUUAUGAUUGUUUGUUAUUUAGUUUUCUUUGUGAGUUUAUUUAUUUAUUAUUUUAUAUUUAUUUAAAUAAGAAUGGAGUAAAAAAUAUAUAUGAUUCAGAAAUUCCAAGAUACUGGGAUAAAUAAUGCACUAGGAAAUUGGAAACAUGGAGAUUUGUUCUUGUUUGUGUGUGUGUGUGUGUUUUUUUUUGGUUGCUUUCGUCUUUGGCAGACCUGAGUUGGUUUUAAUGUUUGACCCGAUUGAGAGAUGAUAAUGUUUUAGUGGCUGAGAGCAUUUUUUUGGGUGUAUACUUUGAAAUGGCAAAUUUGUAAUUUGCGUACAAUCAUAACGCUUAAUUUUAUCAGAAUUGACGCAAUUAGGCUUUAAUGGAGAAGCUGUCAAAACUGAUCAAGGUAUUCUUUGUAUGUCUUUCGGCAGGUGAUCAUUGAAAGAUAUUCCAGGACAGACCUGCCUGAAAUGGAAAAGAAAAAGUAUGUUCUAGUUGUCACAAAUUCACAAUUCUCUGCAUUUUCGUCAAGGCCAAAGUUUCUUGUGUUAAGAACUAACUUAAAUGUCAUAUUACAUGUACAUCUGAGGUUCAAUUUUUUAGAAACUUUAAGAUCCAUGCAUUAUCCAUAUGUUUAUUGGUCAGUAAAGUUUCCGUCUCGAGGUCCUUUGGCAUUGGUACUCUCCUGAGUUCUUUAGUGUACUUAUAAUAAUACUAGGAUAUUUCAGUUUGUAUAUUAGUACCCUCAUCCUAACUAUAUAGCUCUUUGUUCUAGCGAAACAGAGAGCUUUGCUUCUGUUACUUGCUCUGUGUUCUGAUGAUCUUUUGGCAUGUUUUGCUUGCUUUUCUAUGCUUUAAUAAUAUAUGUAUGCUUGGAUGAAUUUCCUUUUAUUCGCAGUUCGGUAUAAUCUGAAUGUAGCUACUUAGUUCUAGAAGUUCUUAACGCAGAUUGAAUUGCCUUCCGGAAUAUUUUAGCCAAUUGUUUUUGCGUUCUCACUUUAAGGAGAAUAACCUGUAUAUCGUGUUUUCUUGUUUCGUAUAGAUUUCUUGUUCCAAGAGACAUGUCUGUCGGCCAGUUUAUUCAUAUCUUAAGCAGCAGGCUUCACUUGACUCCUGGGAAAGCUCUUUUUGUGUUUGUGAAGAACACAUUACCUCAAACAGGUAAAAGACAUAUUAUUGAUUCGGCUACCAGUUUUAUUUGGAUUCUGCACGACAUUGAGAACUUGUUAACACAUUUUUCUGUGGAUUUCAUUUACAGCCAGUCGUAUGGAUUCCAUCUAUGAAAGUUUCAAGGAGGAUGAUGGUUUUCUGUAUAUGUGUUACAGCAGCGAGAAAACCUUCGGCUGAUCCUUCCAUCUCCUCCCCUAAUAAUCUAAUCGUUCAUAUUAGCAACUUGUAAGUAUCUGCUGUUAACUUGUUCUCAUUGCGAAGGGGCCUGUGAGGCUUGCUUCACUGUAUUCUCUCAUGUUCAUUGUAAAUUUGAUUUUUUGUGAAUUCUGUAAAGUUCGUGACCUUCAAUAAUUCCAUAUUUUCAUUCCAAUGUCGACUUUCUAUAAUAAAUGUCACCAUAUAAGUGGGUUCAAUCCUAACCAAAAAAUUAUCUAACAAGAAAGAGAACUUGUAGCCAUGCUUUGUGCUCUGAGAAUGUGCUUGCCUUUCUUUUUAUUUUAUCGUUUUCUAUUUUCAAUACAUUUCAAUACUACCUAUUCAGCAGUAGGACGUAUGAGUGAUUAUAGAAUAUUACGGUAGUACGACCAUAUUGACAAGAUGGAUGAGUAUCUUUUCUUUGAGAUGGUUGAGAACAUUACACCACAUAAUUUCAUACGAAUAGUGCAUCAGAAAUUCCAUGGAAGCAAAGUUACAUGCCGGAAAAAGUUGCAUGAAAGGAAAACAAAAAGAAGACAAAUGACAAAUGAUAUUAUUAUUCAGACCACCGAAGGCCAGGAGAAGUGAUACAACCAUAUUAUUCAUAAAUGAACGAAUAUUUUUUCAACAACAUAUUUGAGACGAGGUUUUUGAUACAUACAGCUACAUGCAGGCAGUCGCUUACUAUUUAUUUUACUCUAGCGCACUAGCAGUUCCAUGCACAGUGACCUCUGCCUCCACGGUACAACUAUCGUUCACCAAGAACCUGUAGCUCGUGUUUUUCAACCAUGUGACUGUAAUGAAUCUCGGCCAGCCCCGCAUGGGACUGGAGGCACUGAACCACCAACUAACUGCAAGAUGAAAUGAAAAAGAAGAAAAAUGAAUGAGGAGCUAAAGACCAAUAAUUAAAAAGUGCAAAGAAAAGAAAACCUCCUCACUGUGUAGGGGAUGGUGAUGGAUAGAACUAGGCCAAUCUAUUUACCUUUAUAUUCAUGGUGAUAGGUGCUGGUGGCUUGAUUUAGGAGGCGCAGGGUAUACUGUGCAUAUAUUUUAGAGGCAGGAGGCAGAGAUGUCGGAUAAGCUAAUGCCAAAUAAAGAGAGAGAUGGCCACUCGCCGCACCGUCUCUUCCCAUGGGAUACAGUUUUAUCUUCCUGCAACAAGCAACAAGCAUUUUUAGAUAAGAUUACCUGCACUUAAAAACUUCUGCAGCAAGUUUAGUUUCCAUCUGCAAACUUUACUGCUUUUUUGGCAUAUAAUUUACUCAUCUCCUUUAUUUUGUUAUUUUGUUAUUUGUUUUGGUUGGUAAACUUUCUCUAAAACUUUAACUGAUUCUUUACCAUCUUCAUGUACGUAAAAUUUUCACAAGGAGAGAGAGAGAGAGAGAGAGAGAGAGAGAGAGAGAGAGAGAGAGAGAGAGAGAGAGAGAGAGAGAGAUAAGGAGGACAUAAAAAGCCUGUAAAGAAGGAUGUAUUAAUCAAUGAGGAGGCUUAUGCACCAUUUUUGGUCUCCAGCAAUGAAUGUUUGUGAGUCAUAGCUCUCCGCGUUUAACUUUGAGAAGUUGUCAAUUUUCCAAACAUGCUUGUACAUAAUGGCAUCCUUGAUCAUUGAUAGACACUCUCCUUUGCAUGUGCUUCUUUCUUUACGAACAAAGACCUCCGCUCCAAACACGCAGGUGUCUUCCACGAGAAAUCCAUUGGAAGCGUCAGUAAAAGCUUUGAGGGAGAGGAAUUUAUCAAAUCCCCAGUCUAACUUCAUCCCAUGGAAGCGCCUUUCAUUUUGUUCUAAGCAAUGCAUAUGACAUAAAAAGAAAAGAAUCAGAAUAUGGGGCAGUACUUUGUAUACAUGAGAAACAUUUGCUUAUCUGUUCUCUGCUGUAUGUUUAAGAAUAAAAUGAAAAGAAAUGGUACCUUGAAGAGCAAAGUACGUGCCAGUAUUCUGAUCAAACAAAAACAACCUGAAAGCAGCAUGCACUUCCCAACAAGUCUGGGGGGCAUUUGCUCCAGCCAAUACUAAGUUGAGAGAGAUGUGCUCUGUCACAUUCCUGCUCUUGUUUCCAUUUGGAUAGAAAACCAGUUUCCUGCAGCAAAACCACAAUUGAUAGUACUCUAAUGCAGCUUGAACAUAAGAAGUAAAUAAUAACAGCGAAUGCAAAUUCAGGUUAUGAGAACAGAGUCACACAAAUAUAAGAACUUGUUGAAAUGAGAGAAAGAAUUGUACCAUUUGUAUCCUCCAGCUUCAAACUCCCCUGAUUCAUAUUUCUCCAGUGAAUGUUUGGACAGCAAUGAAAGCGACUGUAUUUUGAUCGUGUAAUGAGUUGGUGGCGCGUCAGAAAUUGUUCUCAAAAUCCCUGCAAUUAAAAUGUUGGCAACACAAACUAGAAGGUGUGAGGGAGGGAUGUAUACAUUAGGCGUCUGUAACAUGCCAUGUUUACAUUAGCUAGUGCUUUAACAAACACACAUAUACAGAUAGCGACAGAAUCUUACCGUCUUGUUCAUCGAAGUUAAGACUAGUCAUGUUCCUGGCAAAAAACUUGACUGCCGAACUUUGAAGGUGCUGAUAAUUGAUGCAGGUUACAAGAUUCAGAAUGGGUUUUCAGCUUUUAAAAGGAGAAAUAAAAGGUGUUAUUCCAAACUUGAAACUUUUUAAGGAUAGGACACUUAUGCUUUGCUUUUGCAGGAUAAUAAUUUGAUGUUUUGUUUUUCAAGGAAAUGGUCUCAAUGACCUGCUUGUAGGUGUUUUGAAUCAUGUACCUAUUCGAGAUCCCACGCAACCACGUUUAUUAAGGUUGAGAGAGAGAGAGAGAGAGAGAGAGAGAGAGAGAGAGAGUGUGUGUGUGUGUGUGUGUGUGUGUGUGACUCUCACCUUUUCUUGCCACACCUAGACCAUGCACAACAUUGCAUUGUUAAGUAGCUUUCUGCAUGCUGUAUGAGGCAUGUCUCUUCAUCUCUCUGUAUUAAUUUUUCAAUCUCUUCAUUGUCCAUUUUUAUUAAAUCAAAGGAAAAAGGUUUUAUGAAAAAUUGGCGUACUUGACUAAGAGCAAAGAAACUAUGCAAACGAAUUACCCAAUCAAUAGCUUGAUGUGUUUGUAGAUUGUACGAACCAAGAAAGAAAGGGACAGAUUUUAUAUCUUAACGGCACAUGUACAAUCAUAAAGCUUGUCUUAUUGGAAGCAAAGCAUUGUUGCCAGGGUGAAUAUCUUUAUGUCUUUCUGCAGUGACCAGUGAAAGAUACUCCAUGACAAGACACUUGAGAUUAUAAAUUUUUUACAUCUAAUUUCUUGUCAAUAACACUUUUAAAAUUCAUAAUUUAUCUGUGUGCUGAUUGCUCCUUAAAGUUUUCAUCUCUAGGUCCUUCCUUCCUGGUUUCUUCAGUGUACUUGUGGUAAAUGAGAUUUCAGUUUGUUCUAGAAAAACAUAGAGCUCUGCUUCAGUUACUUCCUCCAUGUUAUGAUGAUGAUCCUUUCGCAUUGAUUGUUUGCCUGCUUUUUGUGCCCUAUAUAACAUAAUAGACGCAUGCUUGGAUGAAUUUCCUUUGAUUUUUUCAACAAAAACAAAAAUUCUGCAUGGCAUUGAGAACUUGUUAACGCAUUUUUCUGUGGAUUUCAUUUACAGAGAGUCAUGGAUUCCAUUUCCACCUAGGAAAGUUACAAGGAGGACGCUGGUUUUCUGUUUAUGUGUUACGACAUCGAGAAAACCUUUGGCUUAUCUUUCCAUCUAAUCUGUAAAACUCACAACCUUGAUAAUGCCAUACUAUCUUUCCCAUGUCCAUUUUUUUAUCUAACAAGAAAGUAGAAAAUUUGCAACCAAACUGUUUCUGCUCUGACAAUAAGCUUCCCUUUUUCUUUUUCUUUUCUAUUUUCAAUAUAUUUCCGUACGACUCAGCAGAGACUAAAAGUUGUAAGGUUGAAGAAGUUACAGAAACAAAAUGAGAAACAAAAAAACAGAGGAUUAAGAGCCUUUGACAACAACUAAAAGCAUGUAAAGUCCAAAAAAUGGAGACAUAUUUAUUCACCACCAAGGUCAGAAGAAGAGAUACAACCAUAUUCAUAAGGAAAUGAGUAUCUUUUCUUUCACACAUUUAUGUAGAGAUACCAUUUCUGGUCUCCAGAAAUGAAAAGUUGUAGAAUUCGGCGUCUAAUAACUUUGAGAAGUUGUCAAUUUUCCAAACAUGCUUGCUUGUACAUAACGGCAUCUUUUACCAUUGCCAUUACCAUUGAUAGACACUCUCCUUUCCCUGUACUUCUCUCUUUACAAAGAAAGACCUCUGCUCCAAACACACAGGUGUCAUCUACGAGAAAUCCAUUGGAAGCUUCAGUGAAAGCUUUAUGAGAGAUAAACUGAUCAAAUCCCAAUCAAGCCAUAUAAAAAAAUAUAUCAGAAAAUGAGACAAUACAUUGCAAAUAUGGGAAACAUAAGCUUAUCAGUCCUAUAAAUUAAGGAAAGUAAAUGGUUCCUUGAAAAACCAAGUAGUUGCCCUUAUUCUGAUCAAGUAAAAUCCGUUCCAAACUCUUGCUUAUCUGCUGUAAUUAUCUCAUGUUUAUUCCCAGUAGAUCUCUUCUUCUUAUCUUGAUAGAGUUGUGCAUCUAUCUGAUCUAUUUGUUCCCAUUAUCAAUUGUAAACACAUUCAUAUAAGUAAAACAUGACAACUCUCUUUGUGAUGAGAUUAGGGUUAGAGAACGUGUUUGAUGAGAACAGGGCCUUAAGCUUAUAUAGGGCUAGGUCAAGUCGUCUCUCCUCAUCAUCGAUGGCCGACUUGACUAAUCUUCCAAGCCCACCAAAAUAGUUCACGCAAAAAAGGAAAUAAAUAGGACCCCUUAAUAGGUUUCAAAACCUUUCCUUAUUCCAGAAGGUUUUGGGCCUCAAGGUAUAACUUAAUUUAAAUUCUUAUCAAAACCUGAUAUAAUUUAGUAUCUAGUGCGUCGAUCUAAAUAGUAAAACAUAACAUGGCUAUCAGCGCUCAAAAUUAAUUGACUAAUUGUCGUGUUUUACUUAUAUGAACGUGUUUACAAUUGAUAAUAGUAACAAAGAGACCAGAGAAUAGAGGCAUAACUUUGUCAAGAUAAGAAGAAGGGAUUUACAAGGAAUACAUAUGAGAUACUUAAAGAGAUAUUUAGUCAUAUACCCAUUCUUAGCACUAAAACUAUAAAUAAACUCUACAACAUUUAAUUUCUAUAAACAAACCCAAAAAAAAAAAAACCCAAAAAAUGACAACUGGCCCUAUUGAAUUUAAUUUUAAUUAUUGAAUUACUUUGAUGCCCUAUUGAUUGUUUUGGGCUUUUUUAUGAGGUUUUUGAGUUGAGUUUGUUUUAAGAAAUCAAUGACAGUUUUGUAAUUUAAAAGAAAUUAAAAGCCUUUUUGUUAUGUUAUAAAUGGGCUUUAUGUGUGUUUCUAAAGUCCAUUUCAUAUAUGGUUUUUUUUUUAUUUUAUAAUUUGGGCUCCUAUAUUGGGUAUAAUAGUGAAUCUCCCAUAAAGAGAUAUUAGAGAAAACGUUGGGCUAAUCUUUCCAUCUCCUCCCUUAAUUAUUCAUCUCAUCGUCCAUAUCAGUAACUCGUACGUAUCUGUUGUUCUCAGUUCAUUGUAUAUAUAUUUGAUUUAUUGUAAAGUCCAUAACCUUCAAUAAUGCCACAUCAUCUUUCCAAUGCCGACUUUUAUUUUAUUUUAUUUUAUGAAUAACAAGAAGAAGUUCAAUGUUAUCUAAAAAGUUUCAACAAAAAAGAAAAUGUUAUGUAACAAGAAAGAAGAAAACUUGUAACUUCGCUUUGUGCUCUGAGAAUUUGGUUGUCUAUAUUUCUUUUUCCUUUCCUGUUUUCAAUAUGUAUCCAUAAUACUCAGUAGUUAUGAAAUGGAUGAAGUUACACUGAAAAAAGAAUGAAGAGGAAAACAAAGAAAAGCAGAGGACCAAGAAGCCUUUCAGAAUAACUAAUAGCAUGUGAAUGAUCACACGUUUGAGAACAUUACACCCCAUAAAUUUCAUACAAUAGUAUAGGGCAUUAGAAAUUCCAUGGAAGCAAAGUUACAUGCCGGAAAAAUUUGCAUGAAAGAAAAGAAAAGGAAUGAUACCAUUAUUCGGACCACCUAAGGUCCGAAGAAGCGAUACAACCAUAUUAUUCAUAAGUGAUGAAUAUAUUUGAGGCAUGGUUUUUGAUACAUACAGCUACAGGCAGGAGCUUACUAUUUAUUUUAGUCUAGCGCACUAGCAGUUCCAAGCACAGUGACCUCUGCCUCUACAAUGGUACUAUCAUUCUCCAAAUACCCCAAGCUCUUAUCACUGAAAAUUCCCAGUGUAAUGAAUUUCGGCCAGCCCCGCUUUGGACUGGAGGCACUGAACCACCAAGUAGCUGGAAGAUGAGAUGAAAAAGAAGAAAAAAAUUGAAUGAAGGGCUAAAGACCAAUUAUUUAAAACCUCCUCACUGUGUAGGGGAUACAUAGAAUUAGGCCAAUCUUUUUACCUUUAGUACCAUAUUCAAAGUGACGGGAGCUGUACACUGGGUCUACGAGGCGAAGGGUAAACUGUGCAUAUAAUUUAGAGGUUGGAGACAGAGAUGUGGGAUCAGCCAAUGCCAAAUCAAUAGAAAGAUGGCUACCCUUCCCAUUGUCUCUUCCCUCGGGAUAGAACUCUAUCUUCCUGCAACAAGCGUUUUUCGAUUAGAUAACCUGCACUUGAUAUCUUCCACAGCAAGUUUAGUUUUUAUCUGCAAACUUAACAUCUCUUCUUUUGUUUUGUUUUGUUUUUGUUAUUAGUAAAAUUUCUCUAACAAAAGUGAUUGUUUACCAUCUUCAUGCAAGUAAAAUUUGCACAAUGAAAGAGAGAGAGAGAGAGUGAUAGACCAAGGAGGAAAUUAAAAGCCUGUCAAGAAGGAUAUAUUAAUCAAUAAGGAGACUUUUGCACCAUUUCUGGUCUCCAGCGAUGAAUGUUUCUGAGUCGUAGCUCUCCUCAUCUAACUUUGAAAAGUUUUCAAUUUUCCAAACAUGCUUGUACAUAACGGCAUCCUUGAUCAUUGAUAGACACUCUCCUUUGCAUGUGCUUCUUUCUUUUCGAACAAAGACCUCUGCUCCAAACACACAGGCGUCAUCCACAAGAAAUCCAUUGGAAGCAUCAGUGAAAUCUUUUUGAGAGAGAAAUUGAUCAAAUCCCCAGUCAAGCUUAAUCCCAUGGAAGCACCUUUCCUUUUGUUCUUCUAAGCAAUUAAUGACAAAAAAAAAAUUAAAAAAAUCAGCAUAUGAGGCAAUGCUUUGAAUGUAUAAGAAUAUAAUCUUAUAUGUUCUCUGCUGGUUGUAUAGGAAUGAAAUGAAAAGAAAUGGUACCUUCAAGAGCCAAGUACUUGCCAUUGUUCUGAUCAAGUAAAAACAACCCGAAAGCAGCAUACACUUCCCAACAGGUCUGGGGGCCAUUUGCUCCAGCCAAUACUAAGUAGAGAGAGAUGUGCUCUUUCACAUUCUUGCUCUUUUUUCCAUUUGGAUAGAAAGCCAGUUUCCUGUAGCAAAACCACAAUUGAGAGUACUGUAAUGCAGCUUGGAAAUAAGAAUAAAAUUAAGGCUAAUGAGAAAAUACAGAGUCUCACAAGUAUAAGAGCUUCUUUAGGAAACGAGAGAAAGAAUCAUACCAUUUGUAUCCUCCAGCUUCAAAGUCUUCCGAUUCAUAUCUCUCCAGUGAAUGUUUGGACAUCAAUGAAAACGACUGUAUUUUGAACGUGUAAUGAGUUGGCAUUGAAUCAGAAAAUGUUCUCAAAAUCCCUGCAAUUCAAAUGUUGGCAACACAAGGUAUCAGUAUCAGUGAUGUAUGUACAUUUGGUGUCCAUAACAUGCCAUGUUUACAUUAGCUAAUGCUUUCAACGCACACACUCAAACAGAUAGCAAGAGCACCUUACCGUAUUGGUCAUCGAAGUUAAGGUUAUUCAUGCUCAUGGUAGUAAACUUGACGACCGUGGAACUUUGAAGGUGCUGAUAAUUUGUUACAGAUUACAAGAAUCAAAAUGGGGCUUCAGCUUUUAAAAGGAGAAAUAAAAGGUGUUAUUCCAAACUUGAAGCUUUUUAAGGAUAUGACUGUUAUUCUUUGCUUCUGCACGAUUAUCUUCUCUCUCUUUUUCAAGGAAAAGGUCUCCAUGACCUGCUUGUAGGUGUUUUCAAUCAUGUACUUAUUGUUUAUUAAGGUUGAAGAGAGUAUACUCUCACCUUUUCUUGCCACACCUAGACCUGCACAUUCUUAUUAAACCGAACAACAUUGGGUUGUCAUUGCAUUGUUAAGUAGCCUUCUGCAUGCUGUAACGCAUGUCCGUUGAUCUCUCUGUAGAAACCGAGGAAGAAAGGAGCAGAGUACGGAGAUGGCUAUGCAUCUUCCUUCUUUCAAAGAUGACAAAUUCUAAUUUAUGUUGAUUAAAAAUUCUACUUUCAAAGAUGACAAAUUCUACAAGGUCAAGGUUUCUUCUGCUAAAAGAACAAACCGAGAUUAUAAUUUUUUGAAAAACAGAGAGCUCUGCUUCUGUUACUUUUUCGGUGUUAUAUGAGGAUCCUUUCGGAUUUCAGUACAGCCAGUCAUAUGGAUUCCAUGUAUGGAAGUCACAAGGAGGAUGCUGGUUUUCUGUUUUUGUGUUAUGGUAGCGAGAAAACUUGUGGCUAAUCUCUCCAUCUUCAUCUCCUUUCCCUAAUUAUCUAACUGUAAAAUUCAUAACCUUUGAUAAUGCCAUACUACCUUUCCCAUGUCCAUUUUUAACUAAUGUACAUCCUUCAUAUUACUGGGACCAAUAUUAUCUAACAAGCCAAGAAGAAAACUUGCAACCAUGCUUUUUCUGCUCUGAGAAUGUGCUUGCCUUUUUCUUUUUCUUUUCUAUUUUCAAUACAUUUCCAUACAACCCAGCAGAGACUAUAAAAUUUGUAAUAAUUGAAGAAGUUACAUGAAGAAAAAAAAAAAGGAAAACAAGGAAAAGCAGAGGAUCAAGAAGCCUUUCACAACAGAAGAGACACAACCAUGUCACAAGGAAAUGAGUUUUUUUUUUUAUUCUUUCAAACAUUUGAGAAAAUUGAAGAAAAUUAAACCCCUUAAUUUCAUACUACAGGGCAUUAGAAAUUCCAUGGACAGUGACCUCUGCUUCCACGAUGCAAGUAUCCUUCGACAAAAACCCCAUGCCUGCUUGGCUGAGAAAUCCUAGCGUUAUGAAUCUCCACCAACCGCACUCUGGAUUUGAGGUGCUGAACCAGAAGUUGACUACAAGCGCCCAGAAGGAUUUCCAGUUGAGUAUAUUGAAAACAAAGUUGAAAAGGUAAAAUAAAAUGAAACGAAAGAAGCCACAUCAUAAAUAGAGAAGACACCUUAUGACUAUCUAGCAAUAACACUAGGCCAAUUACCUUUACCAAACUGAUGCCUUGCAUUCACUUGGUCCAGGAUCCGUAGCGUAAAAUCUGCAUAGAUUUUAGAGCCUGGAGGAAGAGAUUUCGGAUCAGCCAAUGCCAAAUAAAGAGAAAGAUGAGUACCAAUUCCAUUGCCUUUUCCCUUGGGAUAGAGUUGAAUCUUCCUGCAACAAUCAGCCCACGAAGAAUAAGAAUACUUUUAGAUUACCUAUGAUUUAAAGUUUGAUCCUCGAGCAAUUUUUUUUGUUGGAAAAAAAACUUUAAUAUGAUGAUUGAUAAGAAAGCUUUAUGUAGGGAUACCAUUUCUGGUCUCCAGAAAUGAACGUUUUUGAGUCAUAGAAUUCCGCAUCUAACUUCGAGAAGUUGUCAAUUUUCCAAACAUGCUUGUACAUCACGGCAUCUUUUACCAUUGAUAGACACUCUCCUUUGCAUGUACUUCUCUCUUUACGAACAAAGAUCUCUGCUCCAAACACACUGGUGUCAUCUAAGAGAAAUCCAUUGGAAGCUUCAGUAAAAGAUUUCUGAGAGAGGAACUGAUCAAAUCCCCAAUCGAGCUUCAUCCCAUGAAAGCGCCUUUCAUUUUGUUCUAAGAGAAGUCAUAUAAAAAAAAUAAUGUCAGAAAAUGAGACAAUGCAUUGCAGAUAUGAGAAACAUACGCUUAUCUGUUCUAUGAAUUAAUGGAAGUAAAUGGUACCUUGAAGAACCAAGUAGUUGCCCUUAUUCUGAUCAAGUAAAAACAACCUGAAAACAGCAUACACUUCCCGAGAAAUCUGGGUAGCAUUUGCACCAGACAUUACCAAGUAGAGAGAGAUGUGAUCUUUCACAUUCCUGCCCUUGUUUCCAUUUGGAUAGAAAACCAGUUUCCUGUAGCAAAACCACAAUUGAUUUUGUACUAAUGCAGCUUGAAAAUAAGAAAGUACUGGCAACUAAUCCAAAUGAAGAUUAUGAGAAAAGACAGAGAUGUUGGAACUUGGUCUAGGAAAUGAAUUCUAACCAUUUGUACCCUCCAGCUUCAAAGUCCCCCGAUUCAUAUUUCUCCAAAGAGUUUUUGGCCAGCAAUGAAAGGGACUGUAUUUUUACUGUGUAAUGAGUCGGUGGGGCAUCCGAAAAGCUUCUCAAAAUCCCUGCAAUUAAAUGUUAAUUGGCAACACAACAAGAAGAAGAAGGAAAUAAGCUCGUACUUAGCUAGUACUUUCAACACACACAGCAUCUUUACCAUCUUGGGCAUCGAAGUUAAGACUGGUCAUCAUGAAACAAGCUUGACCACCGAACUUAAUUUGAUGAGAAUUUGACACUAGUUACAGAAAUGAGAAAGGGUUUAUCUGUUUUAGAACCAAAAUGGGUUUUCUGUUUUUAAAGGAAAAAUUUAAAGGUGUUAUUCUAAACUUGAAACUUUUUAAGGAUAGAACUGUUAUGCUUUGCUUCCUUAGGAUUGUCUUUCUUGCAAGGAAAAGGUAUCCAUGACCUUCUUUUAGGUGCUCUGAAACAUUUACUCAAAAUGGUACACGUAUUAUUCACCAAGAAAGCCAUAACUCAUAAGUAAAACAAUUCCAUACAAUCAUUCAUUAAGGAUUGUGUUUUAACACGGCAAAUGGACUGACAAUACAUUACACCCCCAUAGCUUGUAUACCACAAGCUUAAUUACUAUUCUAUGCUUUGACAAUUCCAUGGACGGUAACUUCUGUCUCCAGUAUCCUUCACUAAAAGCUCGAAGCCGGCUGACUCGCUGAGAAAGUCCUCUACUGUAAUGAAUGUUUGCCAACCAUUUCAUUGACUUGAGGCACUGAACCAGCAAUGGCCUGCAAACAGUGAACAUGCCUCAUUAAUUAGAUAAACAUUUCCUUCAAACUCACUUCCUCCAAUUAAUGUACCUGCGAACAAGAACCGAGAAAAAACCAAACUGAACAGGCACAGAAAUAAACACAAGUUAAGAUCAACACACACGCGAGGGUGUUUUGCUUGUGCUCCCUCAUUUGCCUUGCCAAGCAAGCCAAGUAUUUUCUUUUCUCAUCUUUCAUUUGCUCCAUGACUCCCACUCCCAACCCUGUGCUAGGCAAUUCAGCUCCCCAACUCUCUUACUGAUUUACCACCAGACCGUAACCUAUCCACAACCACCAUGAGAUACCAAAAAACUAAUAUAAAAAAAAACAAAAACAAAACAAAAAAACCUGGCAAGAUUAACUACUGGCUCCCAAUUACUCACAGAGUAUACUCUGCGAAUCGUAGAUCAAUUGAACGCCAAGCAUAAGAGUCUGAGAUGUAAACAAGUGGCCUAAUAUAUAUUUCUUUUUAAUUUUCUUCUCAAUCCUGAUUUGUCUUUUCUUUUUUUCUCUCUUUUUGUGUGCUUGCAGCCAGUUAUACCUGGUUCAAUGCCUUGACUCCGGCUUGGGGUAGGCAGACUUUCAUUAAAUUGGGCACUUUCAAAAUGUCAGACCAGGUUUAUUUGGUGAAUAAUGCUCGGGGUCGAGGCAUAGGUCACUGUCCAUGGAAUUGCUAAAACAUUAGAACUAGCUAAAGCUUAAAAUGCUAGAUCUGGAGAUUGGAAGAUGAAGAAGAUGUGGGUUGUAAAUUAUGGUAUUGUCAUGAGGGACUUUGUUGUAAAUUAAGUGGGUUGUACUAAAAAUUAGUAAAAUACGUAGGUGCUCAAGACUUGUACAAAAGAAUGAUUGUAAUAAAAAUUAAGAAGCUUUGGUUUAUAGUAAUUAUUAGGGGUGAGUACAAUCCGGUUCAGUCCGAUUAUUUUCGGUUCCAAUCCAGCUUCAAAUUUGCAUGCAAUUCUGAUUCCAUAUCUGCAAAAUCUGAAUCCAGAUCUACAAGAUUUGAACCCAGAUAUACAAGAUCUGAACCCAGAUAUACAAGAUGAACCCAUAUCUAUACAAGAUCUUAACAAGAACAUAACCCAUCUCCAAAAACUUAACCCAUAUCUGUACAGAAAACGAAGGAAAAAAAAAAAAAAAAAACAGAAACAGAAAACACAGAGUUGCAAAUAGAGAGGGAGAGAAACAUAAAACAAACAAAGAAAAAAAAUUGAGUAAUAGAAAAACAGAGAAAGAGAGGAAGAAAGAAUCAGUGAGAAAGAAGAGAGGAAAGAAAGAAUAAGGGAGAGAGAAGAAAAAAGAAAAGAAAGAAGAAAGGAGAGGAAAGAAAGGGAGAGAGAGAAAUCGGAGAAAAGAGGAGAGAGAGAGAGAGAGAAUGAGUGAAGUGAGGGUGAAGUGGCGUGUCAGACCAAAAGAAAAGAAAGUGUUGUUGGGUGGGAUUAGGAAGGGUUAGGAAACAGCAUACAUUUCCCAAGAAAUCUGGGCAGCAUUUGCACCGGGACAUUACCAAGUAGAGAGAGAGAUGUGCUCUUUCACAUUCCUGCCCUUGUUUCCAUUUGGAUACAAAACCAGUUUCCUGCAGCAAAGCAACAAUUAAGAUGAAGGAUUAUGAGAAAAGACCGAGAUGUAAGAAGUUUGUCUAGGAAGGUGUAGAAAAUAUAUUUCCUUGUAUUUAACAGAUUACACGAAGUCCUUAUUUAUACUAGUACAGGAUAUCUACUUAAGGUAGGAAAGAUUAAUUGCUAGGAGGAGAUUGUGAAGUUGACUUCCGUGUAGGCUAGGAAAAGAAAGCUGUGUUAACACCCCCCGCAAACUGGGCGUCCCAGGAUGCACAAGUUUGGAAGACAUAUGCUGAUAGCGUGGUUUGUGAAGGGCUUUGGUGAACAGGUCCGCAGGUUGGUCGACAGAAGGAACAAAGCAAACUGGAUGACUUCCAAGAGCCACCUUUUCAUAGACAAAGUGAUAGUCUAACUCAAUGUGAUGUGUGCGGGCAUGGAAAACUGGAUUGGCAGCCAUGUACAUGGUGCUGAGAUUGUCACAAAAGAGUUGGAUAGGGAACCGAAGACGCACACCCAAUUCAUGAAGAAGAGAGCAUAGCCAAGUGGUUUCGGUACAAGCAUGAGAGAGUGCACGAUAUUCUGACUCUGUACUAGAGCGCGAGACUGUGAGAUGCUUCUUGGAACAUCAUGAGAUGAGAUUAGUUCCAAGAGUAAUCAUAUAUCCAAUGGUCGACCGACGAGAAUUGGGGCACCCAGCCCAAUCCGCAUCAGAGUAGGCGGAGAGCCGAGCGGCGGCAGUUUGAGGAGUGAAGGUGAGGCCGAGAUCAAUAGUGCCCUUGAUGUACCUAAGUAUCCGUUUGGAGGCAAUAAGGUGAGAGGUACGAGGAGCACUCAUGAACUGAGCAAUAGUGUUGACUGCAAAAGAUAUGUCAGGGUGAGUAAGAGUGAGAUACUAUAAACUGCCAACAAGCUCGCGAUACUCCAUUGGGUUGGAGAUGAGAGCACCAUCAGAGACAGAGAGGAGAACCUUGGCAGCCAAUGGAGUAGAUGCGAGUUUGGAGUUGAGAAGAUUGGCUUUCUGUAAAAUAUCAUGUGCAUAUUUGAGUUGAUUGAUGUGAAGAGUACCAUCUUUAUGAAGAACUUGUAAACCCAAGAAAUAGCUGAGUAGACCAAGGUCUUUGAUGUCAAAGUGGCCACCUAAAAGAGAGAUGAAUUGUUGGAGGUGAGUGGAAUCACUGCCAAUUACCACGAUGUCAUCAACAUAUAGAAGGAGAAAUACGGUAUGGGACGCCUGUUGAAAAAUAAAUAAUGAAGUGUUAGCUUGGCUCCAUGUAAAGCCCAUAGAGAGAAGGAAAGUAUUGAAGCGAUGGAACCAAGCACGAGGUGCUUGUUUGAGGCCAUAGAGUGCUUUGUGAAUCUUGCAAACAUAAGAAGGACGAGUGGGAUCAAUAAAACCAGGGGGUUGAGCCAUGUAGACAUCUUCUUGAAGAAAUGCAUUUUUGACGUCAAGUUGACAAAGGGACCAACCACGAGAAACUGCAAGACUAAGAACAGUGCGAAUGGUGGCAGGCUUGACAACAGGACUAAAGGUUUCAGCAUAGUCUAUGCCCAGACGUUGAUGAAAACCCUUGGCAACUAGACGAGCUUUGUAGCAUUCAAUGGAGCCGUCAGAGUGACGCUGAAUUUGAAAACCCCACUUGCAGCCAACCAAGUUCUGAGACGGAGAGGAAGGAACCAAAGACCAUGUAUGAUUUUUGAGGAGUGCAUUGAUCUCUUCAGUCAUAGCGUCACGCCAUUCAGUAUGCUUAGUGGCUUGUGAAAAACAAGUAGGUUCAGUAUGCUCAACAACAGUUAAUAAGGCACGGGGAAGAGGAUAUUUGACAGUGUCGUUAGUACGAAGCUUGGGCUUUUGAAUGCCAUCCUAAAGGCGGGUGCGCAUGUGUGGAACAGGGGCAGGAGAUUACAGAGCUGCUGGAACUUGGGGUUUUUGAGCUACUGUAACCAGGGGGUUCGGAGCUGCUGGAACUAAGGAGGUCAGAGCUACUGGAACAAGGGGGUUCGGAGCUACUGAAACUGAGGCAGACGCAAGCGGAGAAAGCUAUAUGCGAGGGUGUCGGGAAUAAGUUUAGAGCAAGGGCUAGGAUAAAGCAGAAGAAGUGUCGUUGAGUGGACCCGAGGGUGCGGCGGGGUCAUGGCUUGAGACUGCAACAGCUGGAAAGGUGCGCACCAGGGAGGUGCCGUGAGGUUGCGAGUCUGAGUCUGAGUUUGUGGCAGGAGUAAUUGAUAUGGGCACAGGUGUAGAGGAGGGCAGAAUUGGGUGGAAUUCAAUAUCCACAUACUCUGAAGAAGAUGAUACCUGCAAAUGCUUAAAUGGAAAAUGCAUUUCGUUAAAUAAAACAUGACGAGACGUGUAAACACGAUCCGUGGAGGGAUGUAAACAACAGUAACCUUUAUGGUGAUAACUGUAUCCAAGGAAAACACAUUCAAUGGUGCGAUUGGUGAGUUUAUUUUCAGUAUAUGGUCCAAGGUAAGGGAAACAAAAACACCCAAACACUCGGAGAUGAGAGUAGGAAGGAGGAUGUUGGAAGAGACGAUUGUAUGGAGUGUCCCAUUGAAGAUUAGGAGUAGGUAGGAGGUUUAUGAGAUGGACAUCAAUGAGGGCAGCUUCAACCCAGAGAUUGUGGGGAGUGUGAGAAGUGGUAAGGAGGGUACGGAUCAUGGUGGCAAUAUGUCUGUGUUUACGUUCAGCUAGGCCAUUUUGUUGGAGAGUGUGGGGACAUGAGAAACGUUGAUGGAUGCCUAGUUGACUGCAAAGAUCAGAGAAAGCUUUAUUAACAUAUUCAGUGUCAUUGUCACUUUGAAGGAUUUGUACAGUGGUGUGAAAUUGAUUUUUAACCAUGGCAAGAAAGGUUUGAAAGUGAGAAAAGACCUCAUUUUUACGAUGCAUAGGAUGGAUCCAGGAGUAACGAGAAAAUUCAUCUGUAAACAAGACAUAAUAGCGAUAACCUGUGACAGAAAUGACAGGGGACAUCCAUACAUCAGUGUGAAUUAAAUAAAAGGGAGAUGGGGCAAAGGUUUUAUUACUAAGAAAUGACAGUUUGGUGGAUUUGCUAAGUGCACAAUCCUUACAAAAAGCAUUUGAAACUUUAAAGCCUAGAGACGACUCUAAAUGAGAUAGCACAAAUGGGAUGGAUGGCCAAGGCGACGAUGCCAAGUAGGAGAGUGCAUGGUGGUAAGGGCACGGGGGACUGUGGAUGAGUGAGAGGAAAGGGAAAGUGGGUAAAGACCAUCUUUAGAAGGGUCCUAAAAGAGUAAUGAACCAGUACGUAAGUCAUAGAUUUAAUAAAAGUUAGGAGUAAAGACAAAGAAAACUAAAUUAUCACGAGUAAAAUGGGCAACAGAAAGAAGAUUAGUACGAAGAGAUAGAAGACAAAAAACAUUUUGAAGAGAAAAUUUGUGAGAACCUAAAGGAAGAGGAAGAAAGCCAGUAUGAGAGAUAGAGAGAGAAUCUCAAUUACCAAGAAAUACAGAAUUAUUACUUGAUAUGGUUGUUGAUUUUGGAGAUUAGAAGGACUACCAGUCAUGUGAUGAGUGACACUUGUGUCAGGGUACCAAGUAGAGUUAGGUGGCUGUAUAAAUUGAGCCCCAGCAAAAGAAGGAAAGGAUUAUGGGCCACUGUAGCGAUGGGGACAUGUUGAAGUAGUAUGUUGAUUAGUAUUGCAGGUGGUGCAUCAAGCAGGUCCCAAGACACCAGGAGCUGAGUUGGGUCAGGAAGAGUAUUUGCUAGAAGCGGCAGAUUGGGCCCAAGGAGGUUGAAAGGAAGGCCAGUUGCUUUGAGAUCCAGAACUUGGAGAAAAAUGAGGCAACAGUUGAUUAGGCCAUUGGGGCUACUGGAAGCCAUUCCACGGGUUGCUCUAGGAAGAUGAGAAGUUGCGCUAGCCACCAUGGCCGCGACCGUGCCAGCCAUCACUGCCACCACGCAUGUUGCUGGAAGAGCCGCCACCACACGAUGAGAAGGGAAGGAAGUAUGACCGGUGGUGUAAGGAGAGGAUUAGGUGACCAUUAGUGCUGUGUUUUGAUCAAGAGAGAUUCGGGGACCUGUGCGUCAAAUGCUAACAAAUGAGCACGAAGAUCAGCAAAGUCAGGAAGCGGAGGAAAAUUGAGAAUUGUAGCGACGAGCAUUUUGUAAUCAGGUCCUAAACCCCGAAGCACAGCAGUGACAAGUUCUUUUGGGGAGACAGGUUCAUUGAUGGCAGCCAGUGAAUCGGCAAGGGACUUAGCAUGACGAAGGUAAGCAUCAAUGGGUUGAGAGCCUUUUUACAAAUCUAUGAGUUGAAAACGAAGAGCAGAUUCACUGGCCAUACUGGAUUGAGAGAAGUGGCGUUGGAGACACUCCCAGAGAUCCCGGGCAGAGGUGCAACCGACAGUGAGAGAGAGAAUGGACUUAGAGAGUGUACUGGUGAUGUAGCUAACAAUGAGUUGGUCUUGUUGGUACCAAUGAGCAUGGGCGGGAUUGGUUUGGGUAAGAGUGGUGGUGGUGGUGGUGGUGAUGGUUAUGGGUGUUUCGGUGGUAGAGGUGGAGGUGUGGGAAGAAGGUUGUUUAUGAGUGCCAUCGAUGAAUUUCCAGAGGUCAUGACCAACUAAAAAGGGUUUGAGUUGGCGGAGCCAAAGAACAUAGUUGGAGUCAGUAAGCUUGAUACAAUGAGAAGAUUUGGGGCUUGGGAGGGAGAUGGUGGAUUCAGACGAAGCCAUGAGGUGGACCUAAAGGAGAAGAGGAUCGAAUAAGGGAGAGGGAGAAAACCCUAGGUUAGGCUAAUACCAUGUACAAAAUAUAUUUCCUUGUAUUUAAUAGAUUACACAAAGUCCCUAUUUAUACUAGUACAUGAAAUCUACUUAAGGUAGGAAAUAAUAUAGACAUGAAUACAAUCCGAUUUACAGCAAGAAAGGCUAAUUGCUAGGAGGAGAUUGUGAAGUAGACUUCCCUGUAGGCUAGGAAAAGAAAGCUGCGUUAACAGAAGGAGAGAACAAAUUCUAACAAGAUAAGUAUCAAGGAGAGCGUACUUUUAUUAAAGGGAAAGUAAUUCCAGAGCUAACUUGGAUGCCAUGAAAACAUUCUCUAAGUUGAGUUGCUGAUCGCAUAGGUCAAGACCCUUAUAAAUAUGGAGUUUAAACGCAAAAUAAAAACACAAAACCUCUACACAUUUCAAACAUAUAUGUUCAAAGAUUACGCAGAUUUCAAGCACACUUAAAACAAAGGGUAAGAUUAACUCGAAAAUAUCGCGCAAACAUCCUUUUUGGCACUAUUGUUUCUACAAUCUACACACAUAUGAAGCUAUAUUAUAUAUUGAGUUGUGGUUUUCCCUCCCUUGUUUCAAUUAGUCAAUAGUCUUCUCCAAGCAAAGGGUCGCUGUUUAUCCUCAGAAAAUUUGUUGGUCAAUUUUAUUGCCAUGACUACCCUUAUAUUUGACCAAGAUGGUAAGCCACCUUCUCUGUCUCUCUAUAUUUUGUGUUUUUACUCUAAACGCUACGUGAUAGAAAUUUUAUGAUUUUUUUUUCCAGGUCUUUCGAGAUCACUUUCAAAUUCACCACCAACUCAUUACACUCUAACAAUAGAGUCAUUUUCGAUGCUAACUGAAAAUUCAGUGGAUACAUAUGAGUCUGGGGAGUUUGAUGCUGGAGGAUACAAAUGGUAAAUCGUGUUUUCUUAAUUAUUUUCUUCCUUUUCACUUUUUGUGUGGAUAUAUGAUAUAUAAUAUAUAAUAUACCUUGGAUAUACAUAAAGCUUCCAUUAAGCUUAUUUUGAGGAAUUCCUCUUGUGGGUUCACUGCAUUCACUACUAUAAAAAACACUCUGCGCAACGAAAUAAGUUUGUUGCGCAAAGUACAAUUUCGUCGCACAAAACCUAAGCAACGAAAUUUUGGUCUCGCGCAUGAUCCGUCACACAAAUCUUGUGAAGAUAGGGUUUGCGCGACGAAACCUAAUCUUCGUCGCGCAGAGCUUUGCGCGACGAACAUUAACGUCGUGCAGAUCGACCUUGCGCGACGAAUACUAACGUUGCGCAAAUAUUUGCCCAACAAAAUAUUUCAAAUAUUUUAAUUUUUGUGUUUUAAAUUUUUUUAAUUAAAAUAAACUAAUUUAAUAGUUUGCGCUACGAAAUAUUUUGUCGUGCAAGGUUUUUGACUUUUUGUUUUAUUAUUUCUCUUAUAUUAAUUUAUUCAAAUUUUUACUUUUUAAAUUUAAUUUAAUUGUAUGAUUUUUUUUAAUUACUUUAAUUUAAAUUGACAUAUUUAAAAUAAAAUUACAUAUGAAAAAUAGUGAUCAAAUUAUCCAAUAUAUAUAUACAGUCCCGAUCUCUUGGACCACAGGAGUCCAAGAGAUUUGUGGUCACUCACCGUUGGAUGUAAAUUCAACGGUUCACUCAAUCUUGAACUCCUUUUAAUAAUAUUCAAAAUGUACACAUAAAUUAAUAAAGUACAAUAAUAAAAUCCUAAUACAAGCCUAUUGUGGUGGUAGUGGCGGAUGAUAUGUUUCGAUAGCGUCCUAAUCCUCAACUUUAGCCGUCAAAGUCUCGACGAUUCCCUACCCAAAAAAAAAUGUGGUCAAAUAACAAAAAAAUUGGCAUAAUCUCCCUAAAAUUGUUAUACCACAACUCCAACCCAAACUCCAAUCCUCACCCUAUACUCAACCCCAAACCCCACACAAACUCAAAACUAACUCCAAAAACACAUAUUAAUGAGAAAAAAAUUUAAAAUUUGGAGAGAAUAUACCUUUUGGCAAGAUUGAGAGUGAGUGAGAAUAAGAGGGAGAAGUGAGUGUGAGAGAAUUAGAGAAGAUAGUGAGAGAGAGAUGAGAGAGUGAGUGAGAGUGAGAGAUAGUGAAAGGAGACAUGAGAGAGUGAGUGUGAGUGAGAGAUAGUGAAGAGAGAGAUGAGAGAUUAAGUGAGAGGAAUGAGUGUGAGAGAAAGGGUCGGAUUUGGGGAGAGGGAAAGAGAGAUGAGAGGUAAGAGUAGAGAAAGACAUUGAGAAAAUGGUGGGGGAGUUAUUUUAGUUUUAAAAACCGUAUCACUUUGCGCGACGAAAUAUUGGUCAUGCAAAGUCUUAAAAAAAAUUUAUAAAAUAAAAUAAAAUUCCCGUGUCCCAUUUUUGGUGCCCGCCCAAAUUUUUAGAGUUUUACGCGAGGAGUUGUUGGUCGCUCAAAGUUUUGCGCAAACCAAAAAUUCCCGCGUCCCUUUUUUGGUACCCGCCAAAUUUUUAGAGUUUUGCGCAACGAAUUGUUGGUCGGAGAGACGAAAAAUUGAUUCGUAGCGCAAUAUUUAUAAAAUAAUUUUAUUUUACCAUUUAAGAUAUAAAUAAGGUUAAGGCAACCAAAUGUGUUUUUGUCGUGCAAAUAAAAUAAUAAAAAAUAAAGAAAUAAUUUAGUUUAACAAUAUAAAAUAUAAAAAUAAGUAACUAAGGGUUAGGCGACGAAAUAUUUACAUUCGUUGAGCAAAGUUUUCAAAAAAUAAUAAAAACAUAUGAAAAAACUAUAUCUUAAAAUUUAUAAUGUAUAAUUAAAUACAAAAAUUAAUUGGUUUGCCCGACUCAUGUUUACAUCAUGACGUCAUGGUAUUGGUUUUUGCACAACGACCCCAUUUUUAUAUUUUAAAAAAAAUAUAUAUAUUAUUAUUAUAAAGUUUACUGAAAAUGUGACUAUACUCCCUUCAAAUUCAUUUUUUUUAAAAACAUAAAACCCACAAUAAUAUAUUUUUCUAACAAAAACCCAAUCCUAACUACAUAAAUAUAUAUACUAUAUUCAAUUUCUUAAGUGUUAUACGUACAAAAUAAAUAAAUUUAAAGCUACUUAAUAAAUAAAUCAAUAAAUAAUAUAUAUACACACACACCAUUCAACGAUCCAACCGUCAAAUUUGUUUAUAUAUACUUUCGAGAUCGUAUACCUCAAAAAUUGCAAAAAACAAACAUUCAGAGAUAUAGUAAUGGGACAAAACUUUUCGACGGUUAUAAAUAAAAAAUCUCUAUUUAACGGUUAUUUUAACUCCGAUUUUGAUUAUUUUUUACAACUACGCUCCUUGACCCUAUAUGAAUACAAUGAUUGAAUUUGAUCUUCAAUUUAAAAUAUUUACACUAGUGGAUACCACAAAAUCUUAUGUUAUAUUUAUCGAAAGUAUAAAUAAACUCUUAAUUGUUAGUGAAUAUAUUAUUUUAAUGGCAUACGCAUUCUACAAAACUAGUUUCAACGAUCUAACCGUGAAACUCGUUUGUUUAUACAUUCGAGAUCAUAUACGCCAAAAAUCGGAAAAAAUAAACAUUCAGAUAUCAAGUAAUGUGACAAAACUUUUCAACGGUUAUAAACGAAAACAAAAUCUCAUUUGAAUCCAAAGAGUGCUAGCGUUUGGACUUUGCUUCACCCCUUUUCUUUAAUUUUUCUGUUGUAACCAUAGUGCCAGUGUAGUUUGGAUUGGUCACCAAUGCCAGAGGGGGUGAAAAGUGGGAGGGAGGAGGUUGAGGAGAACGUGUAGUAAAUUGUUUUUGAAAGGAGACGUGUUUUAAUCUAAAAUACAAUAAAACUUCUAACUCAAAUUUAAUGACAUGACGUGUCCAACCUGGCUGCCACAUUAAAAACAAAAUUAUGGCAAGAGUAGCAUUAUUGUUUUUUUUUUUUAAUGUUUGUUCACUGCAGGAAACUGGUGGUGUACCCAAAUGGAAACACGAAGAAGAAUGUAGAAGACCACAUCUCUGUCUACUUAAAAAUGGCAGAAGCAAAUUCACUUCAGAGUGGUUGGGAAGUAUCUGUUGAUUUUAGAUUGUUUUUGCUUGAUCAGAAUAAGGGAAUCUACUUGGUUCUUCAGGGUAUAUAUUCAUUAUACAUAUCUUCUAUCUCUUUAAUUGGAGUUAUGCAUCCUUGCAUUUUUCAUGAUCUCUUGAUUUUUCUUGCUUAUCAGAUGCUAAUAUGAACAAGAUGUGCUUGCACGGGGCGAUGCUCCAAGUGGGUUUUGAUAGAGUAAUCCCUCUGAAAGCAUUUUCUGUUGCUUCCAAUGGCUAUCUCAUUGAUGAUACUUGUGUUUUUGGAGCCGAGGUCUUCGUUUGCAAAGAAAGAAGAGCGGGCAAGGCAGAGUGUCUGUCAAGAAUCAAAAAGGCUUUUAUGAACAAGCAUUGUUGGAAGAUUGAGAGUUUUUCAACGUUCAAAUCCCAACGCUUGCAAUCUGAACUAUUCACUGCAGGAGGGCAGAAAUGGUGGGUAUCUCUGAUGAUAUUAUUAAUUAAACCUUGUUAAUUAUUCAUCUAAUUAAACUUGUUGCAGGAAGAUAGAGCUCUAUCCCAAGGGAGAUGACCAUGGAGAGAAUACUCAUGUUUCUGUUUACUUAAGAUUAGCUAAUCCAGAAAAGCUAUCUCCUGUCUCCCAAUUACUUAUAGAGUAUACUCUGCGCAUCGUAAAUCAAUUGGACGGGAAGGAUAAGAGUCGGAAAUGUAAAACAUGUGGCCAAAUAUAUAUUUCUUCUUUUACUUUUGUUUUUUUUCCUCUUUCUUUUUAAUUUUCUUCUCAAUCCUGACUAGUCUUUUUUUGUGUGCUUGCAGCGAAUCAUACAUGGUUCAGUGCCUCGAGUCCGUCUUGGGGUUGGCCUUGUUUCAUUAAAUGGGACAGUUUCAAAAUGUUAGACAACGGUUAUUUGGUGAAGAAUACUUGCUUGGUCGAGGCCGAGGUCACUGUCCAUGGAAUUGCUAAAGCAUUAGAGCCAACUGACGAUUAAAAUACACCUGGUAUGAAAGAUCUGGAGAUUGGAAGAUGAAGAAGAUGUGGGGCAAUUGGAGGAAGAACGCAAACCCGAAGAUUGGAAAAGGUAUUGUAAUGAGGGACUUUGUUGUGAAUUAUGUAGGUUGUACUGCAAAUUAGUAAAAUACGUAGAUACUCAAGACUUGUACAAAAGAAUGACUGCAAUAAAAAUAAUUUAAUUUAAUUUAAAAUUUUUUUUUUAAUAAAAGAAGUUUGCAUUUUGUUAUUGAAUAAAAAAAAAAGGGUUAAUUGAUGAUUUGCCCCUGAUUUUGUAGGUAACUUUCAAUUUACCUAUUUACAUUUUUUUUUAAAGAAAAUUAAGGACCCCAAUUAACUUUUAUUGUCAAUAUCCCCCACCGUCAAUUUUUCUGUUUGUCCUUGCCAUUAUUUGCCUAAACAAUAGCUUUUGUGUUUUCCAGCACAUUCAGACCUAGGAUUGGUCCAGUAUUUGGAAUAGAUAAAUGAGGAGGAUUCAGAUCGAGAUCUCCUAUGCCACUGGUAUGGCCUUGAUACCAAGUUGACGUUCUCACAGGCAUUCCAAAGACUGUGAGAUCAGGUUGGUCCCCUUCGGACUGCCUUUCUCUCAUAUUGGGGAAGCUAUUAUGCGAACGCAAUCUUCCUCUAGGCUCUGGAUAGCCUUGGUGUUAUUAUCCAACUUCUCUAACAUUUUGACCAUUAGUUGUUCCAUUAGAGUCAGUUCAAGCUGCAUUGCUUGAACAUCUUUAUCUUCAAUUUCCACAGCGGCAGCAUUGCUUUUAUGAGGAGGAUCCAUCCCAUAUAGAUUUUCCUGCGAGUUUUAUUGACCAUACAAGUGAUCCCAUUAGGCGUGCCAAAAAUAUAUUCGUCAUGUUUUGAACAUUGUGAUGCCCCUGGCCACUAGUAGACUGUACUUUAGCAACUAGCGGUUACUUGUUGGUGAAGGAAGUGAAAUGAGAGAGAUCCGAGCCCUGAAGUGGGCUCAAAAGCUGCUCUCUGGUGAAUUGCGAUAGGCAUGCCACUACUAGUGAUACUGCUAGAAAAAGGGGGUAGAGUGGUGAUAAUGUUGUGAAUGUAUUGCAUUCAUGUGAUCUUAACCUCUAACCAAAGCCACUGUUCUCUAAAGAGGGGAAUCUGGCUUUAGAUAGGUUCUUUUCUAUACCUCAAUGAAGAGGACUUCAAUAUUUCACUUGUUAUGGAAUAAAAACAGGAUGAAUGAUGAUUUUAGACUGUCAUUGGACAGAAAGUAAAAUAACAUAUCUUGAAUGAGAAGUGUCCGAUGGACACAGUACAAUUGUUGGAAAGUAAAUAUACAAGUCCAAAGGGACUGCAAUGAACUUAAAUAAAGUAAAGAAAUGUCCAAAUAAAGCCAAGAAAAGCCUUAUCGGACAGAAACAAACCUUAUUUGACAAAACUGCAAUCUACUUGAGACAAUGCAGUAAGUAUGGUCGCACGGCGAUACUCUUUAAAUAUAAUAUAAUUAAAUAGUAUGGCCGCGCGGCUGUACUGUUUAAUUAUAUUAUAUUUAAACAGUAUAGCCGUGCGGCUAUACUAUUUAUUGAAAAACAAUUGAAAACUGAAGUAUAGCCGCUCGGCGAUUCUUUAAUCAUGCAAGUAAUAAAUAAUGUUACCAAGAAGGUUGGAAGCAAUGCUUUCAUUCAUAUUCACACAAGCCAAGAACAGAAUUUUAGCACUAUGUGCAACAACAUUACACCUGCCUGCCUGAAUUAAACAUAUGAUAGAAUUAAGCAGACUUGCAGUGUUUCAGAAGUUCCGUGGAUGGUAACCUCUGCUUCCACUAUGCAAGAAUCCUUCACAGAGAAACCCCUGCCUGCCUGAUUGAAAAGGUCCAGUUUAAUGAAAUUUGAAGGAUCCCAACAAUAGAUUAAUGUAUCUGGACCCUGUUUUGCAGCUCCAUUGAAAAGUGUGUUAAAAAUUUAACACAGAAAUUGGACUCAAAUCAAAUACCAAACAGGCCCUAAGAGGCCUUUACAUUUAUAAGAAAGAUGAUUGGCAAGCUUUUGAUCUACAAGGCGCAGAGAAUACUCUCUGAAUAUUCUGUAGCCAGGAGGAAGUGCUUUUCGAUCUGACGAUGCCUAGGAAAGAGAAAGAUGCUUACCCUUGCCCUUGCCCUUGCCAUGUCCCUUGGGAGAGAGGCUUAUGAUCCUGCAACAACCAACACGUGAAGAAAAAGAAACUUUUCAAUUUCUUAUAUUUGGAAGCAAGAGGACAUAACGGGAUUAUUGAUCGUUGAUAUACACUUUCCUUUGCCUAUAAUUCUUCCUUCAGAAGCAAAGACCUCAGCUCCAAACACACAGGUGUCAUCAAUGAGAUAUCCGUUGGAAGCAUCCGCAAAUGAUUCUAGCGGGAUAAAUUGAUCGAAAUCCGAACAAGGCAUCUUCCCAUGAAAACACUCUACUUUUUUAUUGGCAUCUAAUUGAAGCAACAUGAAAGUUUAAAAGGAUCAGCAAAUGACCAAUGUGUUUGAAAAAUAUGAAACUAUGAAAAGAAGUAGUUGGCUACCUGCUGGAUGAGAAUCAGACUGAAGUAGAUAAUACCUUCAAGAACCAAGUACGUGCCGUUAUUUUGAUAAAGCAAAACAAUCUGAAAAAGGUAGAGAGAGAUGUGGUCCACCACAUUCUUCUUCAAGUUUCCAUUUGGAUAAAACCUCAGUUUCCUGUGCGCAAUCAUAUCAUAUAGUAGUCUUAUACCAUCACAAGAUAUGCACUGUGAAAAUAAAGAUAAGAUGAAGAUUGAACAUAAUUUACCAUUUGUGUCCUCCUGCUUCGAAUUCCCCUGACUCAAUACUAUCCACAUAAUUUUUGUUCAGUGAUGAAAAUGACUGUAUUUUCAUAUUGUAAUGAGUUUGUAGUGAUUGUGAAAAUGACCUCAAAAUCCCUGAAACCAAAUAAUACAGCAACACAAGAAGGCACAUAGAGAUAGAAGCAUUAGGGUGCUGAAGUCUUAAUGCAUAUAUUCCUUUAGUCUAUAAUUGUAGAAUUUCCUUUGUGUAAGGUUUACACUAAGACACGGUCACACAGCACGGAAUGUUGUUGAGACAGAGAAAUUAUCUUACCAUCUUGGUCGAUGUUAAGAGUAGCCAUGGCAGUAAAGUUGACCAACGAACUAUUUUUUAGGAUAAACAGCAAUAUAUACUUCGCUUCAAGAAGGCUGCCCUUGUUGACAAACUGAAACAAAGGAAGGAAUUAGCUUGAUGCACAUUAAACAAGGUAUUUCUACAUUCAUUGGUUGUGCAAUCAAUCUCUUCGUUUUCCAAUUUUAUUAAGCCAAAGGAAAUAAUGUCAUAUGGAAAUAGAAAUAUUUUUGCUCACCACUUUAACCCAAGUUGUAUGCUCACCAUCCUUCUUAAUACUUGACAUAUGUCCAUAAGCAUAACCUCUUCUGCAUCAAUUUCCAAGAGAAGAAAACGGCGGCCCAUCUGACUAUUUCAGACGAGGAUCAUUACAUCCGAGAAUUCUCCUACUUCAUUAGGUUUAAUUAUCUUGCUUAUAGCCAACACAAUGUAGUAAGUCGUUGAACCAUAUUGAUCUUAUAACUUGGUUUGGCAUAUAUGUAGAACAAUGUGAAGUGAGCACACAUGAUAUGGCUACAUGGAGUUAAGUAUGAACAGGCAGUGACUUGCAUCUUACAUGUCUUUUCUUCAUACAUUACCAAAUAUAAUUGAGAGAAUUUUGUCACUUUGCAAGAGAAAAAAACCAAUAUAACCUUAAACUUCAAAACAGUUGAAUACAUGUCUUGACUUCAAUACAAUGGUAGUGUCGUAAAAAAACGUACAUAAACCUGAAAAAGGACACAUGAGGAUCCAUUGUAACUUCACCACCACCAGGUUCUCUUAUAAAGAAACCUCUCCAAACUAUACAUGCCAAACCUACCACUCUAACUUUUUUUUUUUUUUUGGUCAAGACCACUCUAACUUUAGCUCUAGGAAAAUUCAAGAACAUGUUUUGAACACAAAAUAUUACAUUACUACCUCAACUUACUCUAAGCUGAUUAAAGAGCUUUAGAAAUUCCGUGUACAGUGACCUCUGCCUCCAAUAAGCAAGUAUCCUUCUUCAAAAAACCACUUCCUGCCCGACGGAAAAGGUCCAGCUUAAUGAGACGUUGCCAACCCUGAGCCAGACGCGAGGCACUGAACCAGUUAUACCCUACAAGCAGAAAACAAAAAUCAUUCUCAGUUGAUGCUGCAGCUUCAGCCAAAAUUUAUUUGGGCCAUGUUUCGUGGUUGCAUGGAGAAGUGUACUGAAAAGAAAGAUUUCCAAAACAGAGCAAAAUCUAAGGAACAUAAAAUAAACCCUCAUGGGCCUGUGGCAGGCCAUUAGACUUUACCUUUAACGAAAACAUGCUUAGUGUGCUUUUGAUCUACAAUGCGCACACAAUACGCUGCAAAUAUUCCAGAGCCAGGAGGUAGGGUUUUAGGAUUAGACAAUUUCAAGUCAAGAGAAAGAUGACUACCCUUUCCAAGGCCAUAUCCCUUGGGAUAGAUAAGUAUCUUCCUGCCGCAAUCAAAACAUGAAGAAUAAGAACAAUUUCAGAUUACCUGCAGUUUAAAAGUUUGAUCUUGAAGAUCAAUUUAUUAUUUUGAACCAAAUUCUAAAUAAGUUCAACAGGAAGUGUUACUGAUCAGAGAUACCAUUUGUAGUCACCAGCUUUAAAUGCUACUGAGUAAUAUCCAGAUUUUAACUCUGAAAACUUCUCAAUCUUCCAAGCAUGCUGGUACAUGACAGGAUUCUUGAUCAUUGAUAGGCAAUCUUCUCUAACUAUUCUGCUUUUUUCAGAAACAAAGACCUCAGCUCCAAACACACAGGUGUCAUCAAUGAGAUAACCAUUGGAAGGAUCCACAAAUGAUUCCAGAGGGAUAAAUUGAUCGAAACCCGAAUAAAGCAUCUUCCCAUGAAAACACUUUACUUUUUUAUUGGCAUCUAAUUGAAGCAACAUGAAAGUUAAAAGGAUCAGCAAAUGAGCAAUGCAUUUGAAAAAUAAUACCCAUCUGCUGGAUCAGAAUUAGAGUGAAGCUAGAUAAUAUACCUUCAAGUACCAAGUAGGUGCCUUUUAUCUGAUCGAGCAAAAACAAUCUGAAAAAAGCAUUAAGUUCCCAACCAUCUUGGAAAUAGGCUGAUCCAGAGAUUACCAGGUAGAAAGAGAUGUGGUCCACCACAUUCUUCUUCAAGUAACCAUUUGGAUAGAGCCUCAAUUUCCUGUGAGCAAUCAUAAUAGUCUCAUACAUGUAGCAAUAAUAACAAAUUUUAAUCACAAAGUUACACAACAACAUGUUUGUUUAAUCAGCGGAUAUGAGAAUAAGGAUUUACCAUUUGUAUCCUCCAGCUUUGAAAUCCCCUGACUCAAUACUAGCCACAUUAUUUUUGUACAGGAAUGAAAAAGACUGUAUUUUCAUAGUGUAAUGAGUUGGUGGUGAUUGUGAAAAUGACCUCAAAAUCCCUGAAGCCAAAUAAUGAAGGACAACAAAAACAAAACAAAACAACCAUUAGUGUGCUGAAAUCUUAAUGCAUCCUCAGUCUAUAAUUGUAAAAUUUCCUUUCAGUAGUGUUUAAACUAACACCCAUAGGGGCAGAAAAAACAUCUUACCAUCUUGGAUGAUGUUAAGAGUACCCAUGGCAGCAAAAGUUUACCAACGAAGUAUUUUUGAGGAUGAACAGUACUUUGCUUCAAGAAGACCGCCGUUGUUGGCAAACCGAAGCAGCGGAAGGGAAGUUGUACAAUUAAUGGAGACUCCUAACCACAACCCAGGCAAAUUUUAGGGAAGAAUCUAUGUUUUGUUUUUCUCUGUUAGGAUCUGCUUAGCUCAUGAACGACCUUGUAUUUACUAAUUUGGGCUAUAGUGGGGGUAGCUGUUUUUUUUUUUCCCCAGCCCAAUAUAAUCCACCCAGCCCACCCAAAGUCAACCCGUCUUCAUGAAGAAUCAAUUAUAAUUCAUGUCUUGUUCUUUUUCAUUAAAAUAUAGUUAUUAAAAAAAGUCUCUUCCAUUCCUAUGCCAUACCGUGAUCAAUUGAAAAUAGGGAUUUGCAACUAGUGCUUAUCUGUUUAUGAGUUAUGAAUUAUUACAUAGGAUUUGUAAUUGAUUUUGGUGUUCUUAUUUGUAUGAAUUAUAUUAAUUAGGAUUUUGAUGCAUUUCGAGGAGUAAUUAAUGCACAUUAUGUCUUUUUGAUUAGGUGUGGUUUUUUUUUUUUUUUUGGGUUAUCAAUGAAAUUCACUCAUAUUGUUGAGUUUUCUAUUUUCUUAGUAGGUAUGUACGUAAGGUAAAUUUAGUCCCCCCAAUUUGAAAUCCUGAAUUCGCCCCUAGUUUGGUUGUUAUUUUAAGAAUGUCAUCUCAUUUAAAAUAUAUUCAACGGUUAAAAAACAUGUCACAUAAUUUUGAAUAAAACAUGAAAAAUCUGCCACUAAUGGGUGUCGUCCCUUUUUUCAGAUCAGUUUUUCUUGCUCAUCCCAAUUCUCAUGUGUUUGGGACAAUAUGAAUCACACCCAAAAGAUUAAGGAAUGCAAUUGGAAUUACCAGAUAUUUGAGGGGGGGGGAAAAGGGAAACAUGACAUGACAAUAAUUGAGAGAAUUUGGUCACUUUGGAAGAGACGAAACUAAUACUUCAAAAUACAGUUCAAUACAUGUCUUCACUUCUCGAACCAAAAAAAAAAUUGUCUUGAGUUCGAUUUGUAGAAAACGUAAACUAACAUAAAACCAGAAAAAGGAAAAAUGAGGACACCUGAGACCAUUGUAACUUCACCCAACUAUGCCAAACGUACCACUCUCUCUCUCUCCCUCUCUCUCUCUCUCUCUCUCUCUCUCUCUCUCUCUCUCUCUCUCUCUCUCUCUAGCUCUAGGAAAAUUCAGAACUUGUUUUGAACACAAAAUAUGACAUUACUGUUGUGCGGAAGCGUCAACCAACUGCGAGUGAAAAAUAACAACAGGCAGGAGAAAAAUAGAACAAAAUAAUCAAUCAACAAGAACAACACCAAGAUUUAUACUGGUUCGGCAAUUGCCUACAUCCAGUUUGGAGACGACGGAGUAUUCCACUAUAAUCAAUGAGAGAACACAAUAGUGUUUAACCACUCAGAAAACCCAAGCCCCAAAUAUACCCAAGCUCACACACUCAAGAAUAUAAAGAGGAUACAAAUUGAGUACAAUUUAGAGAGGGAAAAAUAACCAACAAUAGCAACAAAAGCUUAGUUGCCCAAACUAUUAUUUUUCUCUCUCCCAACUUCUCUCUUCUCUCAUCAACUCUCGGUGCUUUCCGCUCUACAUUUUUUCCAAAUGCAUGUUCCCUUUUAUAAGCCAAACAUUUGCUCUUCAACCACCCAACGGCAAAAGCAAAACACACAAGUCAAAAGGUAAAAGUAAGCCAUCAAUGCCAUUUGCUCUUCAACCACCCAACGGCAAAAGCAAAACACACAAGUCAAAAGGUAAAAGUAAGCCAUCAAUGCUAGCCAUUAAUUUGUCUCCAAUUUGUCUGCUAGCCGAAAGCACCGCAAGAUGUCUGCCAGCCGAAAGCAGUUUUGCUUUUGACUAAUUUUUUGAGCCAAUCAUCAACAAUCUCCACCUUGGCUCAAAACCUCGAAGCAACACUCUCAAUGGUCGUCUCCCAAUCCCCCAUGGGGCAAUCAACAAACUUUACAAAUGCCAAUUAAGUCUAAGCAAUGCUUAAACUUGAGCAACGAAACUGGCUUUGUCAACAUAUCCGCAGGAUUCUCAGCGGUCCCAAUCUUCUGAAGAAGAAUAUUUCCCUCGUCAAUAAUCUCACGAACAAAAUGGAACCUCACGUCAAUGUGUUUUGUACGUGCAUGAUGAACUUGAUUCUUUGCUAAAUAAAUAGCACUCUGACUGUCACAAUGAACAUCCACAUGGUCCUGUUCAAUCCCCAAGUCAUCAAGCAAUCCUUGAAGCCAGAUGGCUUCCUUUAUAGCUUCUGUUACCGCCAUGUAUUCAGCCUCCGUAGUCGACAGAGCAACUGUAGAUUGCAGAAUCGACCUCCAACUCACUGGACCUCCAGCAAUAGUGAAUACAAAACCUGUAGUGGACCUACGCUUGUCCAAAUCACCUGCGUAAUCAGAAUCCACAUAUCCAACAACACAUUGACCAGUAACUUUAUCAUGCUGAAAUAAUAAACCAACAUCCACAGUACCCAGAAUAUACCCUAGAAUCCAUUUCACAGCUUGCCAAUGCUCUUUUCCUGGAUUAUGCAUAUAUCUACUGACAAUACUAACAGCUUGUGAAAUAUCAGGCCUCGUACACACCAUAGCAUACAUCAAACUACCAACAGCACUUGCAUAUGGAAUUUGAGCCAUGUAAUGACUCUCUUCACCAGUUUUAGGAGACAUAGAAGCACUAAGUUUGAAAUGAGGGGCAAGAGGUGUACUAACCGGUUUUGAAUUUUCAUUCAUCCCGAAACGUUGUAGUACCUUCUUCAAAUACUGCUUUUGACACAGACUAAUCUUGCCCUUCGCUCUAUCUCUUUCAAUUUCCAUACCCAGUAUCUUCCGAGCUUCUCCUAAGUCCUUCAUCUCAAAUUCAUUACUCAGUUGAGUCUUCAACCUUUCAAUCUCCACUUUGCUUUUACAUGCUAUAAAUAUAUCAUCAACAUAUAAAAGCAGAUAGAUGAAGGUUCCAUCUUGUAGCUUGCGAAAGUAUACACAAUGGUCAUAAUGACUUCUUGUGUACUUCUGCCCGAUCAUAAACCGAUCAAAUCGCUUAUACCAUUGUCUUGGAGACUGCUUCAAGCCGUACAAUGAUUUUUGCAAUUUGCAAACCCAAUUUUCUUUUCCAGCAACCUUAAAACCUUCUGGCUGAGACAUAUAAAUUUCUUCCUCCAAAUCACCAUGUAAGAAUGCAGUCUUGACAUCAAGUUGAGCCAACUCAAGGUUAAACUGCGCAACCAAAGCCAACAGAAUACGAAUAGAGGAAUGUUUUACUACAGGAGAAAAUACCUCAUUGUAGUCAAUGCCUUCCUUCUGAGCAUAGCCUUUAGCUACCAAUCUGGCUUUGAAUCUUACAUUGUCUUUUCCCAAAGAUUCCAUCUUUUUGGCAUAAACCCAUUUGCAACCAAUUGCUUUCUUCCCCUUUGGUAACUGAACCAGCUUCCAAGUCUCAUUUUUAUGAAGAGACUUCAUCUCCUCAUCCAUAGAUUUCUUCCACUCCAAGCUCUCUGAACUUCUGACAGCUUCUUUGUAGGCGGAUGGAAUAUCAUCUUCAAUAAUGGGAAGUGCAUAUGCCACAAUAUCAGUAAACCGAGCAGGCUUUCGAAUUUCCCUCCUCGAUCUUCUGGUUGCAAUAGAAUCUUGUUGCUGUGGAGGCUCUUGGGUAGGUGCCUCCUCUUCAUCAUCGUUGUCCUCAUCAUCAGAAUCAACUGUAGGACUAGUGUCUGUAGUAUCAGACCUUACUGGAACAACUGGAGUUUUCAGUAACUCCACCUGCUUUGAACUACUCAUGGUCUUUGUCGCUUCAAUUUCACCUUCAUGCUUGUUCUGAUUUACCAUAGCAGCCUCAUCAAAAGUCACAUCUCUGCUUACAACAAAUUUCUUCUCAUCUGGACACCAAAUUCGGUAUCGCUUCACGCCAGUGCUAAAUCCCAUAAAUAGAGCUUUCUUUGCUCUUGGAUCUAACUUGCUUUCCCUGACAUGAUAGUAAGCAGGACAACCAAAUAUGAGUAAAUACUUGUAAUCAGUACAAGGUUUACCAGACCAUACCUCCAUGGGCGUUUUGCCCUCAUUCGCAGCAGCAGGCAACCGAUUAAUGAGAUGGCUUGCAUAAGUAAUUGCCUCAGCCCAAAACGCCUUGCCUAAACCAGCAUUAGACAACAUACACCGAACUUUCUCAAGCAAAGUACGGUUCAUGCGUUCUGCCACCCCAUUCUGUUGCGGUGUCUCCCUAACCGUGAAGUGCCUCACAAUACCCUCAUCUUGACAAACUUUCAAGAAGGGAUCAGACUUAUAUUCACCACCAUUGUCUGAUCUGAGAGUCUUGAUCUUUCGACCGCUUUGCGUUUCAAUCAUCUUUUUCCACUUCAGGAAUAUCCUCAAGACUUCAUCUUUACGCUUCAUGGUGUACACCCAUAUUCUUCUAGAGAAGUCAUCAACAAAGGAGACAAAAUAAUGGCUACCUCCCCAAGAUGCAUUAUUGGAGGGUCCCCAAACAUCAGUGUGAACAUAAUCUAGAAUGCCUUUAGUGUGGUGAAUAGCAGUGCCAAAUUUCACUCUAGUUUGCUUACCCAGCACACAGUGUUCACAGAAUUCCAAUUUGCAUGCCUUUGCACCUUUCAAUAAGCCUUGCUUCACCAAUCCUUGCAACGCUUUUUCACCAGCAUGCCCGAGACGCAUAUGCCAUAACCUUGUGGUGUCUGUGCUAUCUGCGUCAGCAACUUCGGUGACAGCUGCUCCACCAAUAACUGUACUACCCUGCAAGAAAUACAAGUUAUUUCGUCUUGUACCUUUCAUCACCACCAGUGCCCCAUGCACAGCUUUAAGAACUCCACCCUCCAUGGUGAUCUUGAGACCCUUGGAUUCCAAAGCGCCCAAUGAGAUGAGAUUCUUCUUCAUAUCCGGAACAUACCGAACAUCACUCAAUUCUCUGACUGUUCCAUCAUGCAUCUUCAAACAGAUUUUGCCUAUCCCUUGUGUUUUGCAGGCAUUAUUAUUGCCCAUCAAAACAACUCCACCAACCAGCUCCUCGAAGCUAGAAAACCAUUCCCGAAUAGGACACAUAUGAUAGGUGCAACCUGAAUCCAAAAUCCACUCAGUUGAGUGACCAUCAGCAGAUGAACUAGCCAAAGCAAACUCGAAAUCUUCAUCUCCAGAUUUUGCAACAUUUGCUUCAGAACCCGCUUUCUCCUUCUCCUUGUUCUUCAAUUUGGGGCAGUCUUUCUUCCAAUGACCCUUUUGGCGACAAAAGGCACAUUCAUCUUUAGCAAGAAACCUCCCUCGUGACUUUGAACGAGAUUUUCCCCGCUUCCCAGAUUUUCUUUCCUCUGUUCGACCCCUUGCAACAAGUGCCUCGGUUUGUGAAUUUUGAGUCUUCUGUUCCUUCUUUCGACACUCAUGAUUCACCAAUGCCGCAGACACCUCAUCCAGUUUCACCUCGGAUUUUCCAUACAACAAAGUAGUUGUCAAAUGAUCAUAAUCAUCAGGCAAUGAAUUUAACAAACAUAGUGCCUUAUCCUCGUCAGGAAUUAUCACAUCAAGAUUUGCUAAAUCAGCAAGUAUUUUAUUAUAAUCAUUGAGGUGUUCAUGCAUAGAAAUACCUGAGCGAUAUUGAAAUCGGAAGAGUCGUUUCUUCAAGAAGAGCCGAUUUUCUGCGCUCUUGGUCAUAUACUUCUCCUCCAAUUUCAUCCAUAACUUCUUAGCAGAAGUUUCCUUCAUAUACGGGUAUUUCAACUCCUUAUCAAGGAACGAUCGAAUAGUGGCACAAGCAUGGAGAUUAAUUCGAGUCCACUGCUUGUCAUCAAUAUCUUCUGGUUUAUCCUCCAGAACCAUAUCCAACUCUUGUUGAUACAACACAUCCAUAACUUCACAUUGCCACAUACCAAAAUUAUUGGAGCCAUUAAAUUUAUCAACCUCUAACCUUGUAGUGGCAAUUGGAUGUCUAUUGGAUGUAGGUGCCGACGACGACGAUGCCGACUCCUUCUCCUUCAAACCUUCCUCUUUUUCUCUAGCCAUCAAAUCUGCCUGGUACUAUUCACUGCUACUGUAGCACAGCACUAUUCACGGGGGCACUGUAGCACCGACACUAUUCACGUGCACUAUUCACCCGUCACUGUAGCACCGACAGAUUUUUCACUCCCACGAAACCCCAGUCGAAAAACUGGAGCUCUGAUACCACUUGUUGUGCGGAAGCGUCAACCAACUGCGAGUGAAAAAUAACAACAGGCAGGAGAAAAAUAGAACAAAAUAAUCAAUCAACAAGAACAACACCAAGAUUUAUACUGGUUCGGCAAUUGCCUACAUCCAGUUUGGAGACGACGGAGUAUUCCACUAUAAUCAAUGAGAGAACACAAUAGUGUUUAACCACUCAGAAAACCCAAGCCCCAAAUAUACCCAAGCUCACACACUCAAUAAUAUAAAGAGGAUACAAAUUGAGUACAAUUUAGAGAGGGAAAAAUAACCAACAAUAGCAACAAAAGCUUAGUUGCCCAAACUAUUAUUUUUCUCUCUCCCAACUUCUCUCUUCUCUCAUCAACUCUCGGUGCUUUCCGCUCUACAUUUUUCCCAAAUGCAUGUUCCCUUUUAUAAGCCAAACAUUUGCUCUUCAACCACCCAACGGCAAAAGCAAAACACACAAGUCAAAAGGUAAAAGUAAGCCAUCAAUGCUAGCCAUUAAUUUGUCUCCAAUUUGUCUGCUAGCCGAAAGCACCGCAAGAUGUCUGCCAGCCGAAAGCAGUUUUGCUUUUGACUAAUUUUUUGAGCCAAUCAUCAACAAUUACUUCCCCAACUUACUCUAAGCUGAUUAUAGUGCUUCAGCAAUUCCAUGGACAGUGACCUCUGCCUCCACUAAGCAGAUAUCCUUCUCUAUCUCCAAAAAAAACCACUGCCUGCACGACUGAAGAGGUCCAGCUCAAUGAAACGGGGAAAACCCCAACCCGAGUACAAGGCACUGAAUCAGGUAUAUCCCCGCAUUAGUCACCAUAUGUCACCAAAUAAUGGUGACUGUUGUCACUUUUUUUUGUAGUGCAGGCAUUGAAAAUUGAUUACCUUAAUCCAGAGUAGAGGCACAAAAAGAAAAAAAAAACUAAUCAAGGAUUGAGAAGAAAAUUGAAAAGAAAGAGGAAAAAAAAAAUAAGAAAAAGAAGACAUACAUGUUUACAAACAAAAAAUGCUUGUCAUUCAAUUGGUCUACGUUGUGCAGAGUAAACAAGUAUUUUGGAGGCAGGAAAUAGCUUUUCUGGAUUAGCCAAUGUUAAGUAAAGAGAAACAUGAGUAUCCUUUCCUUUGCCAUUUCCCUUGGGAUAGAGAUGUAUCUUCCUGCAAACCACCAACAAAUAAAAUUAUUAAAAGAAUAACUAAUUAAACAACAAGUUCAGAUUAAUAAUUAAGAAAGCUUAAUAUCAUCAGAGAUACCUACCCUGUCUGUCCUCCGUCAUUGAACGGUUGUGAUUCCAAGCAUUCGGGUUUUAACUUUGAUACUUUCUCAAUCUUCCAAACAUACUUGUUCAUAAAAGCACAUUGGGUCAAGAUAAGGAAAAGGUGGAGCCUAGGUUGGUUGGUUAAUUGACACUUUGUGCAUACCGGGGAGGUCAGGGUAAACAUGCCUUAAAGAUAAGAGUUCAAGGUACUAAAUUGAAAUUAACCUUUUGUUUUUAAUAUGAAAUUUCAAGCUCAACAAAAAAAUGUUAAACUUUUUUCAAGUCCAAAUAGGUUUCCCUUGUUUGUCUUGGUUUUGUUUUGCCUUUCCUCCACCCAUCACAUGCGGAUGCGUCUCAAGAUCGGAUCUCCACUACUAUCCUUUUUGCCUUUUUUUUUUUUUAAUAUUUAAAAAAAAUAGCCAAAUUCUGUCGUCACCGGCUUCAUUCCCCACAGUAAUGGCUUUUCUUUGUAAGUGAGAUGUUUAUUUCAGUUUGUGAAUAGGGGGUUGCCCUUUUUUUGGUUAGUCGCAGAGACUCUUUGGGUUUUUCUAUGUAGUUUUCACCUCUCCUUUGUGUAAGAGUGUUUCGCCUAUUUUUUUGUGAGAGCUUUCCACUUUUCUUUUAUGAGAGUUUUAUUUGUGUUGUUUUCUGACUUGGUUUUUUCAAGCUUUAUCUCUUUUUUAUUGUUCUAAGUUUGCAAUCUUAAUUGAGAUGCCUUUGUCAGAAUUUUUUCUGUCAUGCGUGAUCAUUAGUGAAGACGCACUAGAUUGUCUUAAUUUUGAUAUUAGAUUUAUACGUUAUUAUAAUGGCCCUUUGUGGUUUGUUUGUAUUUGCUCUGUGUGGCUAGUGGCUUUCUUUGGGUGAAUUAUAAAUGCAAUACCAUAAUUUCUCAAAAAAGAAAGAAAAUAGGAUGAGCUUAGCACUUACAUUCUCCAAAACAAACAUACAUAAAAAUAGUGGUAAAAUUCAAACCUAAUGUAACAACUCCCACAAAUAGCAUGCCAACAUCUCUUUUUAUAACUAAAAUCUAUAAAUUCUCUUAUUAGAAAAUUAAGACAACUCUUGCAAUUUACUCAAGAAAAAUCCCUAGUACAUUCAACCGCACCAAAAAGUCUCUUUUUUUUUUUCUCUUUUUUUUGGUCAAACACAACUCUCUACAACUGCGCAUACAAAUGGUCAUCAAUAAUUUUAGAAGUUAAUCGAGUAAACAACUCACCAACUUCAUAUUUAAUCAAGAUUGGAUGAUCAUUGAAUUGGGAAUUUAUCUUAUAAAACUCAUUUAUUUGCAGCUGCACCUCCUUGCUCAUGAUGUACAUAUAGACAUGCAUGCGUGCAUUAGAGUGCAUCUAUCCUUAGUUCCCUUCCUUGCAUCCAUGUUUUGAAUUUCUCUCCUUGUAAAUUACAUUAAUUUAGAAUAAUUCAUAACUUCGUUUUAAGGCUUGACUAGUUUCUUCAACACAAGUCGAACACAAUUGCAAAGGUCGACAGAGACAAAAAGAAAUAUAAUUUACGUACCAUCAUGUUGGCCAAACUUAAGACUAGCCAUGGCCAAAACUUCGAGUCCGGUUUACCUGUUACCAAAGUUCCUGUGUCCCCUUGUUUUCCUGCUAAUUUCGUGACAUGUGGCAAGUUACUUAACACCACUUAACUCUGUUAACUCUUUUUGCUUCUUUUUACUGUUUAUUUUUUUUGCUUUUUCUCCCUGUUCUGCCCCUUUCUCUCUUCUCUAGUUCCCUCUCCCCCUCUCUCCUUCGUCUCCCCUCCUCCGCUUCCUUUUUUGUUCUCUUUUCCAGUUCUCCACCACCACGUUUUUUCUCUCUCUCUCUCUCUUUUUUUUUUGUUUUUGGUUUUGCUUUGUUUUUCUUUUUCUCUCCUCUCCUUUUUUAUUUCUUUUCUUACUUUCUCCUUCACCCCCUUUUUCCCUACUUUAUUUUCUGAGUUCCUCUCUCCACAAACUCACAAAGGUUUAUAUUUGGGACUAAUUAAAUGGGUUGGAUUGGGUGAUGUUGGGUUAUCUAAAUUGUAAUAACCCAAAACAAAAUAUCCUAAAAUUAGUAUUAAUUUAUUCUAGCGGAAAGACGACUUUGUCCUCACCUCUUUUAAGAGGGGGAAAAGUUGACUUUUUGACCGAGAAGGAAUUUGGCAAUUCCACCUACGCCGUUGCGCAGAGCUCGACGAUACGAGUUCGUAGACAAGUGGCACGCCCAAUUUCGAAUUGUAACUAACGAGAAAAGGUCUACAAGCGAAAAGGACGUAAAAGGAAUUUUAAAUUUCUUAUUGCUACAGUACCGCUACAGUACCCGAACUUUUUUUUAUAUAUUUCUCUCCUCUCCCUCGUCAGAUUGCUCUCUCUCUCUCUUCUCUCUCUCCUUUGGCCGUGCGACCCUUCGCCUUCUCGGCGACGGCCCGGCCACCACAGGCCGAGCUGAUCUCCGCCGUGGGUACCAUCGGGUCCGCCUCCCUCUCGCCGUCAAAACCUGACCGACCUCCACCCUUGGGCCGCUCGGAGUUGAUCGGAACACCAUGUUUUCCGACGGAGGUUCGUCCGAAAUCACCCGAACUUCCAGCUCGAUUUUCUCCUUCAAUUUUCCACCAAAUCGGUCGAGUAAGGUAUGGUUUCUCAGCUAUUUUUCACGUUCUAGCUGAUGGAUGUAUGGGUUUAAAUCGAUUUUAGUCCUAAAGCGAUCAAUUUUCGACUUGAAAUCUGGCCGAAACUUCGGCCGCCUAAAACUACUGUUUCGGGUCAGUUUUUGGGGUUGUCCAAGAACAAAAGUGACUCCAAAUGGGGUGUUUUACCUAGGAUAGGAAUUUGGAGUCUUGGUUCCGAGAUUUUUCGACCACCCGAAAUCGCUUAAGACACCCAAAUCUGACCGCGCGUGCUGGGACGCGUGGGCGAGGGUAGUGAAGGAAUUCUGUGCAGUUUUGUGACCCUCGUACCAUCACGAGCACGUAGGAUUUCGCGGAUCUCAAUUCGGAGUCCGUUUGAGCCCCGAACGGAUUUUUCAUAAUAUGCGAUUCCCGGGUACAGUGUCGUCUAGCCGUUGGAUCGCACCCCAUUUCAGAUAUGUUGUUCUAUAUUGUUUCAGGAUCGUGUAGGAUUCAACGGAUUGCGAAUCGGAGUCCCGGAUACUCCGAAAUCGCGAACCCUGGGGCUAGGGUUUGAAAUUUAAGCGAUAACUCGAUUUUGGCUAAUCCAACCGUCCAUUUCGGACCAAACUCGCAGGACAUGGGUUUUACACAGUGAGGAACCUCUAGAGAAUCCCAGAUCGGCCAUCGGAGAUCGUGGACCCCACGGGGUUCCGGAUCGGCCGGUCUAACAGUUUAUCGCUUUGUAAGGUUUCCAGUCUUUUAAGGCCAUUCUAAUUAUCUGAAAUGUUACAGUGGGCAUAGAGUUGACUUUACAAUGAGAGCACGCAUUGCUAGGAGCCGGGGGUCAGGGUAUUUAAUUUAAUGCUUUUAUUGAGCAGUUUAGUAAUUGAAUAUUCAUGGUUAAACAGGCAUCAGAGGCCAAACUGAACCACAAGAGGGACCUUCAAGAGGUCCAGCUAGCUCGGACCAGCAGUGAGUGGACCUUUCUUUGUUUUCUAUGAUUUUCUGAAUCAGUUUUAUUCAGUGUGAUUUAUUCCUAUGAAUUUAAAGAUUCCUUCUAUACAUUGCUUAGCUGAUUUUGCUAAAGUUAUUUGGACAGCAGACUUUGAGAUUUAUGAUUCAGAAAUAUCUAGCUCAGAUUUUAUCAGAAUACAGAGGAUGUCAGAUUUUAUCCAAGAUAAUUAUUUUAGACCACCAUGAAUUAUAGAAAGCAGAGUUUGAGGUUUCUAUCAGAUAAAAAGGGCAGCACAGUUAUAGAUUGAAUAAAGAUUCAGUUAUUCAUCAGAUCUUUCAGAAAUAUUAUGAUAUUUAUAUUUGAUAUUUUCUCAGCAGUUUAUAUUUUCUUAAACCACUGUGGGUACCCGGUUACAGAAACAGGUUGCCGUCAAAUAAGACGAUGUCUACGGACAUCCAAAUUGCCUUCAGUUUAUGUUGCCUUCGGAUAUGAUGAUGUCUACAGACAUCCAGUUUACUUUCAGUUACGUCAGUACACUCGACAUUUGCCUCACGAGUUUUGGGGACGCCCGAACCGUGAGUGCCAGGAUUGCGGAUCAGGCUGACUAUGGUCUCCUGAAUCCUGCCAGUUUGCGGCUCGGAUACACUAUGUGUCGCCGAGACCUGCCAGAGGAAUUGACGAAGUUACAGAGGAAUUAACGGAUACCAGGAAUUGACGGAAAUUACAAAGGUACACCCAGUUGGUAACUUUAGAGGAAUGUCAGUGCAAUUAUGCAGAUAUUGAUUUCAGUGAUUUUACUUGAGUUUCUUAAUAUCGAGCAGUAACGGUAUGCAUAUAUUGAUUUCAGUGAUUUUACUUGAGUUUCUUAAUAUCGAGCAGUAACGGUAUAUAUAUGUUUACCUAAAUGAUUUGGACUUAUCAUAAUUCAAGUGCAGUUUAAUUAUUCAGUUGUAUGAUUAUCAUUAUUUUUACAGUGGGGGUUAUUAUGUUCAUAUACUGUUUUCUAGAACUUUAUUUUGGUCCACUCACACUUUGAAAUGUUUUGCGCCCCCCCAGGCAGUCGAGUGUGCAGGAAUCCACCACCAGGCCAUCUCCUAGCUCCCACGCUACAAAAUGUAGGUUCAGUUGUAAAAUACUUAAAGUCUUGUAAAUAAUUAGUAACUGCUCUGAUAUCUGGUUGGAUUAGAUAACCAGAACUGGUGAAUAUUUUAGUUACCCUAUUCUGGCAGUUGGUGUGGAUUUAUCAGUUUGUUUGACAGGUGGAAAAAAUUUGGGCUUGCUCAAAUUACAGGGGAGACUCUGCCGAAUUUUCGGCAAGAGUCUAAGAAAAGUUUUAACCGUAGUUAUUAGCAGGAAGGGUAAAGAGGUCUUUGUGCCCGACAUUUGCCAGGUGUCGGACACGCACAGGGCUUGGCUCGAAUUCCAAAGCGGAAAUUGGGUCGGGUCCUGUCAUAAAUUGGUUAUGGAGGGUGCAACAAUGUCUUGCUCUUAUUUUGUCCUAUUGGUUGUGGAGGGUGCAAUAAUAUGAUAUGUAUAUCAUGCCUGCAAAUCUGCUUCUAUUGACUCCAAAGAUAGACGGUUUCGAGGCCAUUUACAUAUACCAGUGCCCCAUUCUCUAUCACACUCAGGCAAAACUGAUCCUCUUUCUAUUAUUUCCCCUACUCCAGCAAUUACCUGUUUGAUAAUCACUCCCUUGAAAUCUUGUGCAUUUAUAGCCUGAUAUAUACUCGUGAGGACGUUCCCUCUUAUGGCCACCCUCGUGAUUGCUAUACUAUGGUAUUCAUUCUCUUCAUGCAUGAGUUGUAAUUAUAUCUUUUGGGUUUGUUUUUCGUUCACAGUUCCAAGGAAUUUCAGAUUGCUGGAAGAGCUCGAGGGGGGGGAGAGGGGGAAGAAGAGAGAAAGGGGCAGAACAGGGAGAAAAAGCCAACAAAAAAAAAACAGUAAAAAGAAGCAAAAAGACUUAAACAGAGUUAAGUGGUGUUAAGUGGCUUGCCACAUGUCACGAAAUUAGCAGGGAAACUGGGGGGCACAGCAACUUUGGUAACAGGUAAACCGGACUCCAAAACUUCCUUCUGUCGAUACUACAAGUUGAUGCCAAAAAAUUGAUAAAGGAUGCGUCGUCGACCAGUUCCUCCUGAGUUGAGUCGGUGAAGAAAAGGGUUUCAGCGAUGAUUAGAAAGAAAGUGAUGGAGGGUGGCCGUAAGUUAUAUUAUAUUGGAGAUCGACCGAGUACACUUGUUUCCCGGUAGGAAGUUUACAUAUACACAAACAUAUUCAAGAUUCCUCGUAUGAUAAUAUCUGAGACUCCUUAACUAACUUAAAUUAAAUGAUAAUAUCUGAGACUCUCUCUCUCUCUCUCUCUCUCUCUCUCUCUCUCUCUCUCUCUAUAUAUAUAUAUAUAUAUAUAUAUAUAUAUAUUAGUUUGCUCUGAUUUUACUUCUAUGAAAAUUCUCUCUUCAACCUCCAACGAGACCACACAAUCCUUGCUCAAAAAUAUACAAUAAGGUUUCAUUAGAGAGGCACCCAAGAUAUGGAAAAUGCUGGGACUUUUUUUUAUUUUUAAUAUUAAUUAUUGGAAGAUGAAUAAAUUCUGUUGAAAUUUUAAUUUUGAAUACGGCAAAUGUGGGCUUUUCUUCCCAACAAAAAGGAAAUAGUUUUGGUGCAAGGCAAGAAAAUAUGAGUUUUGUGAUUUUUUUUUUCUGUUAUUUUAAAUCAUAUAUUUUGUUAUUUCUAGAAAUUGGUAUUGCAGCAGGGACGUUAUUUUUUGUUUGCAUAUUUAUCAUUUGUGAUUUUGUCAAUGUUUUCAUCCUUCUUUUUUCAUACCUAGAAUAUCAAAAACGUGCAUACUGUUUUCGUUCUCUAAAACUUAACUUGGAUCUUAAAUUACAAAUUCAUUUUUGGGUUUUUAUUUCACGAAAAUAUUUUUCAGAAAUGAGUUCAAGAAAUGUUACCAAAUGGGUCCUAACUUCAUUGAAAACAUAAACCGCUUGUUUAGGAGUGAAGUAGCAACUCUCCUUUCGACUCAAUUAGCAAAGCUAAAAAAGAAAGCAGAAAAAUGACAAAAUUCUCAUUUGCAAGUAUAGAUACUAAAAAUUAAGAAUAAAAAAAAAAGUUUUCAACCACACACUAGAAAAAAAUUUCAAAUGAGGAUCGUUAUAUCAUGUUCUAUUGCCAAUAUUGAAUAUUUCUGGAGAAACAUUUAUGUUAACGGUAACACCAGGUGACACAAGAUGUGUGUUAUGAAUAUUUUUACGACAAGCUUUAGCUGGCUAUAAUGCUUUAGCAAUUCCAUGGACAGUGACCUCCGCCUCAAUUAAGCAAGUAUCCUUCAGCAAAUAACCCUUGUCUAACCGAUUGAAAUUGCCCAAUGUAAUGAAAUUAGACCAACCAAUACCCAAAGCUGAGGACCAUUGAAUACCUGCAAGCACACAAAAAAGAAAAAACGAAAGAAAAAAAAAAGACUAAUCAAGGAUUGAAAAAAAAAUUUGAAAGAAGAGGAGAAAAGAAACAAAUAAGUAAAAGAAGAAAUAUAAAUUAGGCAGCAUUACCUUUACCAUAAAAAUGCUUGGCAUUCAAUUGAUCUACGAUGCGCAGAGUGAACUCUGUAAGUAUUUGGGAGCCAGGAGAUAGCUUUUCUGGAUUAGCACAUUUUAAGUAAAUAGAAACAUGAGUACCCUUUCCGUUGUCAGCUCCCUUGGGAUAGAGCUUUAUCUUCCUGCAACCACCAACAAAUUUAUUAAUGAUUAAAAAAAAGAAGGAACUAAACAACAAGUUUAGAUUAAUUACAAGGCUUAAUUAAUAUCAUCAGAGAUACCUACCAUGUCUGUCCUCCAGCAUUGAACGGUUGUGAUUCCAAGCAUUCGGUUUUUGACUUUGAAAAUUUCUCAAUCUUCCAAACAUACUUGUUCGUAGAAGCACUGUUGAUCCCUGAUAGGCACUCUGCCUUGCCUGCUCUUCUUUCUUUACAAACAAAGACCUCGGCUCCAAACACACACUUGUCAUCAACGAGAUAGCCAUUGGAAGCAUCAGCAAAUGCUUUCAGAGGGAUAACUCUAUCGAAACCCAUUUCGAGCAUCGCCCGGUGCAAGCAAAUCUUGUUUAGAUUAGCAUCUGAAAAGCAAACAAAAUUAGAAGAUCAUGAGCAAUGCAUAGUGAUAGAUAGAUAGAUAUAUAAUGUAUGCAUACCUUGAAGAACCAAGUAUUUUCCCGUAUUCUGAUCAAGCAAAAACAAUCUAAAAUCAGCAGAGACUUCCCAACGAGUCUCAAGUGAAUUUGCUCCAGCCAUUUUUAAGUAGACAGAGAUGUGGUCUUCCACAUUCUUCUUCUUGUUUCCAUUUGGGUAGAACACCAGUUUCCUUCAGUGAGCAAACAUAAAAACAAUAUUAAUAAAGAAGAAAAUAAUAUACCAAAGCGAUGAAACGAAAUAAAAUAACUUAAGAAAAACGAUUAUUUACCAUUUGUAUCCUCCAGCGUCAAACUUCCCUGACUCAAAGCUACCCUCUGAUGUUGAAUGCUUCUUCAGCAACGAAAACGCCUCUAUUUUUAGAGUGUAAUGAGUUGGCGGUGAAUCUGAAAAUGGUCUUGAAACCCCUACAAUGCAACAUUAAAUAUUAAUUAAUUAAUGGCAACAACACUAGGUGUAUAUAAGAGCAUCUCUAAAGGAGAUGUCACAUACAAAAUGUUAAAUUUGAAUUUGAUAGCUUAUGUGGCAAUUUUGACACUUACCGAAAAAAAAAUAUUAACUCCACCCGUAUUGCCAAAUAUUUUAUUAUUUUAUUAUAUUUUUAAAAGCAUGGUACAUAUGAUGCAUAAAGUUUUUAAAGUGUGUAAAUGAUAGUGGGGUCUAUGGCUGAAAAUAUAUUAAAAUAAUAAUAUUUGACACCAUCUAGCUUUUUGAUAUAUUAUUUUUGACAUAUCUGUCUCAAGUCUUCAAAUCCAUGUAGAAUUUAACUACUCGGUUAGAGUAACUUUAACCUUUAUUUUUAUCAGUUUAUGUCCACGUAACAAUUUGGCAUAUCUGCUGGAGCAGCCUUGAUCACUUGGACCCUUGUAGUCCAAGAGAUUUGUGGUCACUCACCGUUGGCUGUAAAUUUAACGGUUCACUCACUCUUGCACUCAUUUUAAAAAAAAAUUUGAACCAUUAGAUUAAUAUCUAACGGUGGAUGACCACAAUCUCUUGGACUCCUGUGGUCCAAGAGAUCGGGACUGUCUGCUGGAGAUGCUCUAAGGAACUUUUCAAUACAAACCCAAUUCCGGAUGAAAAUGUUAGGUAAACCCACCUAUUUGAAUUGAUGACAGCCCAAUUUGCAUUUUCUACUUAUUUUUCUUAACUAUUUUGCCCUUGAAGGUAAAUAAUGAAACAAAUUAAGGGCUCGUUUGGGACUGCUUAUUCAGGAAGCACUUCAUACUCACAAAUCGUAUCCCUCCUUGUUAGGUAGACUAACUCGACACUCAAACCUAUUCGGUAGAUAGUUAACAUAAACCUUUUUUACCUAUGUACAUAAUAGAAAGAAAAAAAAGAAAAAAAAAAGAAACAUAAACUGCCCCUACAUACAAGGUAAAUAAAUAAAUAAAAGGUAUAUGUUUACAUGUACGUGUACAAGCAUUUUUCCCUAUGAAUGCUUGUAGUUUUUUGGGUUAAGAUUUAAUUUUUUAUAUAUAAAAUAACAGGCACCCAAAAUAAUAUAUACAUGUACGUGUCCAUGUCUUUAUAUCUAAGUUUGAAUUUCUCUCUCGUAAAUUAUAUUAAUUUAGACUGUAACUUAUAUUGAACAAAAAAACAAAACAAGCAUAUAUAUAUAUAUAUAUAUAUAGAACUUCGUUUUAAGGCUUGACUUGUUUCUUCAACACAAGUUGAACACAAUUGCAAAGUUCGAUUGAGACAAAAAGAAGUGUUAAUUUACGUACCAUCAUGUUGGCCAAACAUCAGACUAGCCAUGGCAAUUAAAUUCACCACCAAACUUCCUUCUGUAGAUACUACAGGUACGUUGAUGCCUAAAAAUUUAUAAAGGGUGUGCGUGCGCGUCGACCAGUUCCUCCCGAGUGAGUGUCUUGACUUGAGUCAAAGAAGAAAAAGGUUUCAGGCGAUGAUUAGAAACAAAGUUUUGGAGGGUGUCCUAUUUAUAUUGGAGAUCGAGAGUAGACUUCUUUUCCGAUAGGAAGAGGAAUUAAUACUACCAUUCUUUCACAUAUAUACACACACAUAUUCAUGAUGCCUUAUAUUAUCCGAGAGUCCUUUACCAACUUAAAUUAAAUGACAAAGGUUGAGCCUUAUUGGGUCUUGUCAUAUAAUUUUUUUUUUUUUUAAAGUAAUACAUGAUAAUUACAAGUUUCUUAAUAGAGAAAAAAAACAUAGUGACAUGAAAUAUUAUCAAGUUGUUUUUUGAAAGAAUUAAUAUAUAGUGACAUGAAAGAGUACAAGUCCUACUCCAAUUUAUUGUUUUACAAACGUAAGUAUUUUGUUGAACCAUAUUGAUCUUAUGUCAUGCUUGCCAUGAAGUUAACUGGAUGCGAAUUGGAGAGAAAGGUGACUAUCCUUUCCCUAUCCUUUUCCAUUGCGAUGGAGCUGUCUCUUCUUGAAACAAUAAACCAUGAAGAGUAAGAACAUUUUCAGAUUAAUUCAUAAGUAAUGCGGAAGAUUUUUCGUCGUAAGAACAGUUUUGAAGAAAAACAAAAGGCAAACAUUGCUAAACGAAUCGCUCAAAAUUUGAGCCUAAUCAACAUCUUUUUAUACACUAAAUCUCGUCCAAAACAUAAGACAUGAACACGAUGACUAUAGUGCUUUGGCAUUGGCAACUCCAUGGACAGUGACUUUGGCCUCUAUUAAGCAAGUAUCCUUCAUCAAAACCCCUUGCCUUCCUCACUGAAAGUGUCCAGUGAAAUGGAAGUAGGCGGCCAACCCCAAUUCAGGCUCGAUGCACUGAACCACAGCUAUUACCUACACACACACAUAAACCUUACCUUCAUCACAUUUAUGGCUGGAGUGAAUUUGAUGCACAAUGGACAGGGAAAACUCUUCAAAUAUUUUGGAACCCGGAGGUAUUUCCCGAUCGUCCAAUACGUACCAAGAAAAUAGAAGUAUGAGUACCCUUUCCAUCAUCAGCGACCCUUAGGAUAGAGCUUUAUCUUCCUGCAACAACCAACAAAUUAAAAACAAGAGUACAUUUUUAGAAUUACCUGCAAGUUUAAUCUUCAAGAGUCAAGAUUCCAGUCACGUUUUACAAUUGCAAGCUUAAGACGUACCACAUCAGAAUUUCAGGCAAAAGGUAUGCAUUUCAAAUUGCAUACCUUCCCAAAUCACAAAAUAUCUUCAUUUGUAGUUCUGUUAGGGGAAAAUUAUCAUUAACUAAUAAAGGUAAUUAUUUUCGUUUUCAUGCAGGUAAAAAGAUAUUUCAGUGUGCAUCAAAAUUGAAAGCACCCCCUUAAAGAAGUAUAUUAAUAAGAAAAUCAAUCAGAGUUUACUCUUUCAGAGUUUACUCUUUCAGAGUUUUAGUCUCUUAGGUCAGCAUGUUGUUGUGCCUUUCUGUCACUGUCUUUCUUUUAUACAGGGUUUUGGUUUGGUCUCCCUUGCUGUUCUUAUAUUUCUUUAUGUUUCUUAUUAAUAAAAUUAUGAUCAAGGAGACGGGCGGGGGCUCCCGGAAUGUGUUGGUCCCCUUUUCGAGGGUGGUGGAUGUUUGUGCAUCCGAUGACCGAUACUAAGGAGCUAAUCUCGCCUAAUCUAUUGUUCUAUAAAUUUAAAAAAAAAAAAUUUAUAUAUAUAUAUAUACCAUUUCUGAUACCCAGCAGCGAAUGGUUCUGAACUAACUUUGAAAAGUUCUCAAUCUUCCAAACAUGUUUGUGCAUAACGGCAUUCUUGAUCAUUGAUAUAGACUCUCCUUUGUCAGUUCUUCUUUCUUAAUUAAUUGAAUAUUAAUUCAUUUAAACAAUUUAAACUUCCACUUCAUCAUGGAUAUCUUCUUGUUGUGUUGCCAACAUGGUUGUGAGAUCAAUUUCAAAUGCACAACCAACUCACUACGUACACGGUGAAGAAAAAGUCACACGACCAAAAAACUAAACAGAAAAAAAUAAAGUUCUCAUUUGCAAGUAGGAACUAAAGUUCUCAUUUAACAACAUUUAAGUCAAAAUAAAAUCAACCGCAUAAAUGAAGCACCAAAGUUGGUUAACAAUUUCAAAUGAGGAUUACUAAAUCCAGUGCUUGAAUAAUUGUUGUUGCUUAAACAAUUUCAAAGCUAGUAAAAAAUCUCUUCUCUUUUUCUACGUUGUUCAUAUACGUAUGAUAUCCAAUCCAGUGCUUGAAUAAUUGCUGUUGCUAUACAUCAUCAUAUAUCCAAGCAAUUGCUGUCGCUUGAAUAGUUGUUGUGCCUUGGAUAUGAGGAGUAGUCUGUAUUCGAUGCACAUAUGAAUAGUUGGUGUUUCUUGAAUAGUUAUUGUUGCCAUCAUCAUAUAUCGAUGAACAGUACAUCAUCAUCAUAUUUAUUGUUGUGCAUCAAAUGAGUUGUAAUUUUUCUACGCUUUUUCUACUUUUCCUUCUUUAUGAAUGACGGUUUAUGCAUUUAGAAUUAUAGUUUACUUAUCUUCUUUUUUUUUUGGGUCAUGAAAUUACUUUUAUGUUUUUACUUUUGCGCAUUUUUCAUAAACAUCCAGACAUAGAUCCUUAUUUUGGUUGCACAUUUGAACAAAAUAUAUGCCCUUUUUUUUUUCUUUGGAUGUAUAUGGUUUGGAAGUUCUUUACAAAAUGUUUUUGUAAAGGUACUUUUCUCUUUUGAAAAUCUAGAAAAACGAUAAACAACCCAAAAAAAAGAAAAAAAAAACAUUUUAGAACUCUAAUCAACUCUUUUAAAAUCUAUGAUAAAACUCCAACAAACACCAUUAAAAUCAAUCUAGGAAUUCAAUCAAACUCUAUGUAGAGUUUAUAGAAAUCAAUUGAACUAUAUUGAACUCUAUAAACUUUAUAACUCCAUUUAACUCUUUUAAAAUCUUAAUUGAAUACACCCUCCUUAGAACUCUCUCUCUCUCUCUCUCUAUUAGUUUGCUCUGCUUUUGCUUCUAUGAAAAUUCUCUCUUCAACCUCCAUACAGACCACACAAUGCUUGCUCAAAAAUACCAGAAGGUUUCAUUAGAGAGGCACCAAAGAUCUGGAAAAAGCUGGGACUUUUUUAUUUUUAUUUUUAUAAAAUUAUUGGAAGAUUAAUAAAUUAUGUUGACAUUUUAAUUUUGAAUAGGGCAAAUAUGGGCUUUUCUAUACAACAAAAAGGAAAUAGUGUUGGUGCAAGGCAAGAACAUAUGAGUUUUGUGAUUUAGAAAUUGAGUACUGCUACACUUACCACAUUUUUAUCCCAAAUUUCUAUACCACAUGAUGUGGCAUGUUUAUAUCAUAUGUCACAUCAAUUAAAUGAAUGAAAUGUAUUUUAAUAAAUAAAAUUAGAAAAACAGAAACUAGUAUUUUACAUGAUGUGGUAUGUACACAUCAGCACAUCAUGUGGUAUGAAAUUAUGUUAUAAAAAUGUGGUAAGACUAGUAUUAUUCUUAGAAAUUACUAUUGCAGCAGGACGUGUUAUUUUUUGUUUGCAUACAUACAUAUAUAUCAUUUGUGAUUUUGUCAAUGUUUUCAUCAUUCUUUUUCCAUACCUAGAAUAUCAAAAACGUGUAUACUAUGUUUUUGUUCUCUAAAAGACAAAAACUUAACUUGGAUCUUAAAGUACGAAUUCAUUUUUUGAUUUUUAUUUUACAAAAACAUUUUUCAGAAAUGAUUUCAAGAAAUGUUACCAGAUGGGUCCUAACUUCAUUGAAAGCAUAAACCGUGUGUUAAGGAGUGAAGUAGCGACUCUCCUUUCAACUCACUUAGCAGCGACUCUCCUUUCGACUCACUUAGCAAAGCUAAAAAAGAAAGCAUGAAAAUGAUAAAAUUAUCAUUCGCAAGUAGAAACUAAUUAAAAAUUAAAAAUUAAAAAAAAUAAUUCAACCGCGCGCUAGAAAUUUUUUUCAAAUGAGGGUGGUUAUAUCAUGUUGUGUUGCCAAUAUUGAAUAGCAAUGAUUUUUGGAGAAAUGUUUCCGUUUGACAGUAACACCGGGUGACAGGAGGUGUGUUAUGAAUAUAAUCACGACAAGCUUUAGCUGGCUGUAAUGCUUUAGCAAAUUCCAUGGACAGUGACCUCUGCCUCGACUAAGCAAGUAUCCUUCACCAAAUAACCCUUGUCUAACUGUUCGAAAUUGCCCAAUGUAAUGAAAUCAGGCCAACCCCAAGGUCGACCACAUGCAAUAGCUGCAAUAGCACACAAAAACAAAAACAAAAAAGGGAAAAAAGAAGAUUAAUCAGGAUUGAGAAGAAAUUUGAAAAGAAAGAGGAGUAAAAUGUUUACAUUGACGAAAACAAUGCUUGGCGUUCAAUUGAUCUACGAUGUGAAGAGUAAACUGUGCAAGUAUUUUGGAGGCAGGAGAUAGCUUUUCUGGAUUAGCCAAUGUUAAGUAAAGAGAAACAUGAGGCUAUUUCCCUUGGGAUAGAGCUGUAUCUUCCUGCAAACCACCAACAAUUUAAUUAAAACAGAAGAACUAAUUAAACAACAAGCUUAAUCAUCAUCAGAGAGAGAUACCUACCAUGUCUGCCCUCCGGCAUUGAAUGGUUUUGAUUCCAAGCGUUCGGGUGUUAACUUCGAAAAUUCCUCAAUCAAGUAAAAACAAUCUAAAAUCAACAAAUACUUCCCAACCAGUCUCAAGUGAUUCUGCGCCAGCCAUUUCUAGAUAGACAGAGAUGUGGUCUUCCACAUUCUUCUUCUUGUAUCCAUUUGGGUACACCACCAGUUUCCUGCCGUGAUCAAACAUAAAAAAUAAUAGGGGCAUUUGUAUCCUCCAGGAUCAAACUCCCCUGACUCAAAUCUAUCCGCCGAAUACUUCUUUAGCAACGAAAACGACUCUAUUUUUAGAGUGUAAUGAGAUGGCGGUGAAUCUGAAAAUGGUCUUGAAACCUCUGCAACGCAACAAUUAAACAUUUUAUUAAUUAAUGGCAACAAUAAAUACAUGCAUGUAUGCGCAUUGAUUGAUAUAGAACGUCUUUUUGGGCAAAUGUGAGUUAAGUUAGCAUUGCCCACCCCUCUGCACUCACGUUCGAAUUUCUAUUCCCGUAAGUUAAUUUAAUUUAACAUAAACUAGACUAUUAUUAAUAUUUUAAAAAACAAAAUAAAAUGGAACUUCCUUUUAAGGCUUGAGUAGUUUCUUCAACACAAGUUCAACAUAAGCUCAUAGAUAGAUAGAGACAAAAAUAAGUAGAUGUUACGUACCAUCUUGGUCAAACUCAAUACUAAGCAUGGAAAUUAAAUUGACCACCAAACUUCCUUCUAUAGAUACAGGUUGAUGCCAGAAAUUUGAUCAAGAAAAAGGCUUCAGCGAUGAUUGGAAAGAAAGUUGUGGAGGUGGGUCUAAUCGCUGAAACCUAUUUUCUUGGGGGAGAGGAGAGUUCUUUUCCGAUAGUAAUUUUUACAUAUCUGACACUCCUUUACUAAUACGACUCCUUAAUUGAAUUAAAUUACAUUAAAUUAAAUUAAAUAGAUUGGGCCUUAUGGGGUUUGAUCCAUCGUAAAGGUGACAAAUUUGGGCUUUUCCUAUAAUUUGAGUGUUGUAUGAUUUUUGCAUAAUUUAGGUCUUAUUUAUGGGUUUACAUGUGAAACUCUCAAAUAAAAAAGAGCUUAUUGGCAAUGUAAGAUGUAAAAAUGAAUCCUAAAAUUAACUAAGCACACUCUAUUAUCAAACAUUUUAUUGAAUUACUAAUUUACCCUAAUAUAAAAUGAUCAAAAACGAUAGAGUGCUGCUAUUUCUGCCCUCUUAUCAUAUUUCCCCACCCACCAUGUAAAUUCGAAAAAACAAAAUCUUAUUUUUCCAUCCACCAUUAUUCCUAAAAUACCCUUUAAUUAUUAAUUCAAGCAAAUUCUCAUUGCCAACGGGAAUAGGCAACUUCGGUUCCGCCAGCAGUCAUCAAAUCAGCCUUACCUCGACGAAUGUGAUUUUUGCAGCAUCGAAAUAGUAAUUUGAAGUAGCACAAGCAGUCGAAACCGAAUAAUUUGGUUCCAUAACACCCAGAUCAAUACCAAGCAACGCAGACCCCAUGUUUGUAAUAGCAUAAGCGUAUAAACCUCGUGAGGGUUGUAGGACUAUGAUGGUUUGAGAAAAAGUCUAACUAAGAUUGCAGGAACAUAUGUAGGGUGUAGUGAACAAAUUUAAUUUUUAUUUUAAAUUUUUUUGUCCUUAUCGAUAAUUAUGUACAAGGGUAAAAUAGGUAAUUCAUGUCUAAAAUUAGUAUGGGAGGCAAAGAGCAAAUAAUGUGCCAAUAAAAUCACUCUUUUUUUAAUUUUAUAAUAUUUUAAAAGAUUUUGUUAUUAUUUUUUUCACACAUCAUCCCCAAUUAAAUAUCCCUAAUUAAAUAUCAAUAUUUUUUAGGUCAAAUUCCCUAAUUAAAUUUAAAUAUUAUAAGAAUUAUUUUUAGGUCCGACACAACAUCAAACAUAGGUUUUCACUAUUGUAAUCCGACGCAACACCAAACGUAUAUCAAUACUUAAUCCUACUUAGGCCAAUCCGAGCUAAUCCAAGACAGUCCUAGAAUUUAGUCCAGUCCACGACAGUACGCCGUACCAAACGACCCCUAACUUUCUUAUUAGAAACACAAACCACGUGCAGAGCAGUUGAAGUAGUGACUGUCCUUCCGACUCGCUUAGCAAAGCUCAAAAAGUAAACAUACAAACAUGAUAAAAUUCUAAUUUGCAAGUAGAAAACUCUACAACAUUUAAUUCAACCGCACACAUGAAGCACCAAAAGUCUCUUGUUUAAAGAAGCACCAAAAAAACAAUUUCAAAUCAGGAUCAUUAUAUCAGGUUGCGUUGCCAAUAAUGAAUGGAAGAAACGUUUUGGUUUGAUGGUAACACCACAUAGCAUGAUAUGGUUUCGUUAUGAGCGGACGGUAACCUCUGCCUCGACUACGCAAGUAUUCAUCACCAAAUAACCCUUGUCUCUCUCUUUGAAAAAGCCCAACAUAAUGAAAUUAGACCAACCCCAAGAGGGACUCGAGGCUCUGAAACAAUUACUAGCUGCAAGCACACAAAAAGAAAAUAAGACAGACUAAUCAGGAUUGAGAAGAAAGAGAAAAUAAAACAGACUAUUAGGCACAUGUUUACCUUGACGAAAAAAAUGCUUGGCGUUUAAUUGAUCUACGAUACGAAGAGUAAACUGUGCAAGUAUUUUGGAGGCAGUAGAUAGCUUUUCUGGAUUAGCCAAUGUUAAGGAAAGAGAAACAUGAGUAUGGUUUCCAUGGCUAUCUCCCUUGGGAUAGAGCUGUAUCUUCCUGCAAACCACCAACAAAUUAAUUAAAUAAUUAACAAGGCUUAAUCAUCAUCAGAGAGAGAUACCUACCAUGUCUGCCCUCCAGCAUUGAAUGGUUUUGAUUCCAAGGGUUCGGGUUUUAACUUUGAAAAUUCCUCAAUCUUCCAAACAUACUUGUUCAUAAAAUCAUUGUUUUCCUUUUUAUGAAGAAAAUCUUUGUUUUCUUUUGAUACAAUAACAGCAUUGUUGAUCCUUGGUAGGCACUCUGCCUUGCCUGCUCUUCUUUCCUUACAAACAAAGACCUCGGCUCCAAACACACAAGUAUCAUCAAUGAGAUAGCCAUUGGAAGCAUCAGCAAAUGCUUUCAGAGGGAUAACUCUAUCGAAACCUACUUCGAGCAUCGCCACGUGCAAGCACAUCUUCUUUAGAUUAGCAUCUGAUAAGCAAACAAAAUUAGAAGAUCAUGAGCAAUUCAUGCGACAUAAGAUAUAUGAGAAUUAAUUUCAAACAGAUAGAUAAUAUAUAAUGUAUGUAUGUAUACCCUGAAGAACCAAGUAGAUUCCCUUAUUCUGAUCAAGUAAAAACAAUCUAAAAUCAACAAAUACUUCCCAACCAGUCUCAAGUGAUUCUGCUCCAGCCAUUUCUAGAUAGACAGAGAUGUGGUCUUCCACAUUCUUCUUCUUGUAUCCAUUUGGGUACACCACCAGCUUCCUGCAGUGAUAUCAAACAUAAAAAAUAAUAGGAGCAUUUCAAUAUAGACCCAGUCAAUGACCGAAAUGUAAAAAAUAACUAGCAGAUUAGAAAAACGAUUUACCAUUUGUAUCCUCCAGCAUCAAACUCCCCCGACUCAAAUCUAUCCGCUGAAUGCUUCUUUAGCAACGAAAAUGACUCUAUUUUUAGAGUGUAGUGAGUUGGCGGUGUAUAUGAAAAUGGUGUUGAAACCCCUGCAAUGCAACAAUUAAACGUUUUAUUAAUUAAUGGCAACAACACUAGAAGAUACGUAUGUAUAGAACUUUCUUGCAAAUGUGGGUUAAACUAAUUGGCCACGGCAUUACCCGCCUCCUUACAUGCAAGUUCAACACAAGCGCAUAGCUCGACAAAAAGAAUUAUAUUUUACGUACCAUCUUGCUCAAACUCAAGAUUAGCCAUGGCAAUUGACCACCAAUCUUCCUUCUAUAGAAAGAAAGUUAUGGAGGAGAGAUUAGAGUUCUUUUCCGAUAGGAAUACGAUUUUAUAUAUUCAAAGAUUAUUCCUUAUAUUAUCUGAAACUCCUUUAUUAAUACGACUAUUUAAUUAAAUUAUCGGGUCCGAUCCUAACGAGGUGAUGACAAGUUUCUUAAUAGAAAAAAAAAACAGUGACAUGGAAUAUGUUAGAAUAUAAUCAAGAGGAUCACGUGUUAAAUACACCUAAUGGUUAGGCUAGUUAGUAGCUGAGCUGUCAAGUCAAAAGUCAGAUGUGUUAGUCUGUUAAUAAGUUUGUUACAGAAAUAAGAAAUUCCAGAGCUUUCUUAUAUUCUUUCUUGUUCCUUCUUCUUCUUCUCGUUUAUCCUCUACUCUGAUACCAUAUAUUCUUUUCUUUUUGAAAUAUUUUGUCUAUAGUUUAUUUUUCAGUGAUUUUUAUUUUUAUUUUUGUUGUCCAAACGUAUUUGAAGAUGUUUUAUUAAUGUUAUACUUGCACAUUGUUGGGAAAUUUUUCAUAUUUUGUUAAAAGUUUGAAUGAGUUUGAGUUUAUAAAUUUGGAUGCGAUAACUGUUUGGUUUGUAGUUAAAAAUAAUUUCACAUUGAUGAAUGUAACACAACAUAAACAGCUUGGUGGAAAAGGGUCUUAACUUGCAGAUCAAUGGUCUCAGAUUCAAAAUCUCAUGGCACUAUGGUAGUGUGUGUAUGAUAAACUUUUCCCCCUCUAGUUUAGACUAUCGCUUGUACUAAAAACAAACAAACAAAAACUCAUUGUGGAAUUUGGACACGUUAAAUUUUCGGAAAUAAGAUUACUACCGUUUGCAAUCCCUUUUCCCUUUUGGAUAGAGCAGCAUCCUCUUGCAACAAUGAACAUUUUCAUAUUACGUAGGUGCACUUCAAAGUUUAUUCUUUUUUCAUAUUCAUAAGUGAAAAUCUACUUUAAACUAAUCUAAACUACACGGAUGAGAAUUCGAACUCGGAUAUAAAGUGAGGAGUACAUCCACUCUAACACACUCGGCUAAGGUCAUGUCUGCUCAAAGUUCAUUCUUUAAAGUGCAAUAUCUUACAAGAAUUUUUUAACAAUCAAGGAAAAUUAACCGCAUUGAUCAGCGGCAUUUGUAUAGUUUAAGACUCAAAAUAUUUAUUUUAUUUUUUCUGUUUGAGGAAAAACUUUAGCAAAUAAAUGAAAUUAUUUUAUUCUUUCAUUCAUUCUGGUAUAGUUAGAGCGGCUUAUUAGAAACAAUUUAGGUUAUUAUAGCUCAAGUGGUUAAGAACAAUUAUUCAUACGCAUAAAGUCAUGUGCUCGAAUGCCCCAUCCCCAAAGAAUCCUCAUAGAGAGUGGCUACAAUGUUUUUUUGGGUUUACGAUUAUUCAUCUUGUUGUUUUGGUAUUUAGAGUUUCACCAAAACUUACAUAAAACCUUAAAAAAACAAGGAGAAAAAAGCCAAACCACAUGUAGAGCAGUGAAGUAUAGACUCUCCUUCCGACUUGCUUAGCAAAGCUCAAAAUGUAGACAUGCAAAUGAUAAAAUUCUAAUUUGCAAAUAGAAACUAACACCAAAUUGUGUUGUUUAAAGAAGCACCAGAAAACAACUUCAAAUAAGGAUCAUUAUAUCCUGUUGUUGUGUUUCCAAUAUUGAAUUGGAGAAACGUUUCUGUUUGACAGCAACAGCAAGUGGCUGUUAGGACAAGCUUUAACUGACUACAAUGCUGUAAAAAUUCCAUGGACAUUGACCUCUGCCUCCACUAAGCAAUAGCUCUGAACCAAAAAACCCUUGUCUAACUGUUUCAAAAUGUCAAAUGCAAUCAACCUAGAGAAACCGAAAGAGGGAGUCAAGGCACUGAACCAUUGACAACCUGCAAGAACACAAAAAUUAAAACAAAAACAAAAAGGCUGAUUAGGGUUUCAGAAAUAAAUUGAAAGGAGGGAAGUAAAAGAAGCAAAAAUUACAGAGAAGAACCCCAUAGCAAUAUAUAUUAUAUAGCAUUAGGUUAGACCACAUGCUUACCUUUACAAAAAAAAUGCUUGCCAUUCAAUUGAUCAACGAUGCGCAGAGUAAACUCUGUAAGUAUUUUGGAGGCAGGUUCUGGAUUAGCCAAUGUUAAGUAAAGAGAAACAUGAGUAUCCUUUCCUUUGUCAUAUCCCUUGGGAUAGAGACGUAUCUUCCUGCAAACCACCAACAAAUAAAAUUGCAUUAAAACCAGAAGUAUUUUAACAAUAAGUUAAUAACAAAGCUUAAUAUGAUCAAAGAUACCUACCAUGUCUGUCCUCCAGCAAAGAAUGGCUUUGAUUCCAAGAGUUCAGGUCUGAACUUUAAAGGUAUAUAAACUUUCCAAGGAUGCUUGUACAUAGCACUGUUGAUCGCGUAUAGGCGUUCUGCUUUGCCAGCUCUUCUUUCUUUACAAACAAAGACCUCGGCUCCAAACACACAAGUAUCAUUAAUCAGAUAGCCGUUGGAAGAAUCAGUAAAUGCAUUCAGAGGGAUAACUCUAUCGAAACCCACUUCAAACAUCGCCCCGUGUAAGCACAUCUUGUUUAGAUUAGCAUCUGAUAAGCCAAAAAAAAACGAAAACAUCAUGAGCAAAGCAACACAAGAACUGGUCUAUAUCUGCUGAAUGGAUGCAUUGAGAAUUCUUUUCAAACAGAUAGAAGAUGUAUCAUGUAUGCAUACCCUGAAGAACCAAGUAGAUUCCCUUAUUCUGAUCAAGUAAAAACAAUCUAAACUCAACAAAUACUUCCCAACCAGUCUGAAGUGAAUCUGCUCCAGCCAUUUCUAAGUAGACAGAGAUGUGGUCAUCCACAUUCUUCUGCUUGUAUCCAUUUGGGUACACCGCCAGUUUCCUGCAGUGACCAAACAUAAUAAUAAUACUACUCAUAUAUAUGCUGAAAAUUAAUCAAAUCAAAUCACAAAGGUAUAUCUAAUUAAGUAGUAGAUGAGAAAAACAAUUUACCAUUUGUAUCCUCCAGCAUCGAACUGCCCUGACUCAAAUCUACCUGCUGAAUGCCUCUCUAAAGACGAAAAGGACUCUACUUUUAGGAUGUAAUGAGUUGGCGGUGAAUUUGAAAAUGGUGUUGAAACCCCUGCAAUGCAAUAAUUAAACAUUAAUUAAUUAAUGGCAACAACACUAGAGGAAUAUCUAAAAACUAGACAGUUCGGAUCAUUGAAAUACAAUGCGUGGUAUAUAUAUAUAUAUAUACACACACGCAUGCAUGCUCUGUCAUUCCUGUAGGUCUGAUGCUGCCUUGGCACCCCCAGCUCCCAUAUACUCGUUUGUCUUACGUACCUGCAGCAUCUGGCUCAAACUUAAGAUUAAGAGUAGCCAUGGCAGUUAAAUUUGACCACCAAACUUGCUGAUGCAGCAGAUUAAUUGAUGGAAAAUCUGAUUAAUUAGGCUAACCAAUUCCUCCAGAUCAGUCUCUUAAGUCAGUGAAGGAAAAGGUUUGAGCGAUUAGAAAGAAAGAAAGGCAUGGAAAGUGGCCUACUUUUAGGAGAGUAUAAGAUUUUUUCCCAUGUAUAUGUAUCCAAGAAAGACUCUUUUACUAAGCUAGAGCCUUAUCGGGUUGUUGUAUAUAUAUAUAUAUAUAUAUAUAUAUAUAUAUCAGUCCCCUUAUAUUGAGGAAUCCCUCAAAUAAUUUUAUUUGAGGGACGCCUUUUAGGGUACCCUACAAUUUUUUUCCCAAUGAUCCAAACCAUCUAUUUUUUAGGUCUUCAUUCAUAGAUCAUCCUUACAAAAAAUUAGACAAAUCGGAAACCAUUUCGACAUCCAAUUGUGUCUUACAAAAUCAAUGAACACGGUGCUUCAAGAAAAUGCUAAAAUUUCAAUAACUUAAUUGAGUGGUCAAAUGAUACCGGAUUCAAGUGAGUUUUUGUAGAGAUGAUCUUUGAAUGAGUAUCUACAAAAUAGAAGGUUUGGAUUAGUGAAAUACAAUCCGGAGUGGGGCCUACAAGGGGUGUCCCUCAAAUAAGCUUAUUUGAGGGAUCCCUCAAUGGAAGCUCUCUGUAUAUAUAUAUCAAUUUGUUUUUCUUUUCUUUUUAAAAAAUCUUUUGUCUAUAUAUUUUUAAUUUUUGGAUGUAAGGAUUUGGUGACAUGUUAUGGGGUUUUGUUAUUUUUCUUCUAAGAAAAGAGGGAUUCAAACUCGGGUGCGGAGUGGGGUUUUGUUAUUUGAUGUGUUAUUAUUAUAUAUAAAUUUUUUAAGGUAUGUCAAGAUGUUUUAUUUAUAUUAUAUUACAUUUAUUAUAUGAGUUUGAGUUUAUAAAACUAUAUACUGUUGUGAAUUGUGGGCACGUUAAAUUUUGAGAACAUGAAUAUGUUAAGUUUUGCUAACAAAUUAUACGAAAUAAGUUCAUCUUUGGAAUAUCCUCCUGCAACAACCAACAUUUUGCACUUCAAAGUUCAUCUUCUAAGUGCAACUUUAGAAAAUAAAUGAAAUUUUGGUAAAAUAAGAGCGGCCUAUUUACAUCGAAUUUUAGGCUUAAUAGAAUCCUUACAGAUAGUGGUUACAAUGUUCCCUUUGGGUCUAGGGUAAAUCAUUUUGUGUUUAGGGUUUUGGUAUUUAUAGUUUAUAUUAGAAAAAUAAUUUAAAAGAAACAAAAGGUGUUUAUUUUAUGAUGCAUAUGGAAUUGACUAACUGAGAAUUUUGAGUGAGAAAAAACUUAAAAACACCAAGCCAGCUCCAACAAGAGUGACGGAGUGGGGGAUAACCAAAGCAGCAAAGCAAAAUAAUUUCAUAAGGUUUACAAUAAUACAGUGAUUUUAAGCGAUUAUGGGGUGAAGCACCUUCCUUCCGUUUGCUUCUCUAUAAGAUCACUUUAAACCACUUAAAGUGAUUCUACAUAGAAGUGAUUAUUGGCCUAUCCAAAAUCACUCCAAACGAGCCCCAAAUCACUGUACUGCAAAACUAUGCUUGAAACUCACAAGUUUGGCUUGCUUUCUUAAAUACUUUGCAAUCAUAGGCAAAAAUCUAAAAGAAACAGAACCAAUCACCAGAUGCUACAAAACUAUGCUCGUCAUUACACUCCUGCCAAACAUCAAAAAUCAUAUUUCAAUUGACUCAGCACUUUGCAAUCAGAACACAAUCUUGAUCAACUGUCUCAGACCCCCCACAUAAUUGAUACUUGUUUAAGCACAAAAUGGCGUGAAAAAGUGUUAGCUUGACGACUAUAAUCAGACUAGUAUGCAUUCCUGAUAAACAGCAGGUUCAGAAAAACCUCAACUAUGAAGACAAUCCUUCUGACUUUGGCCUUGUGUACCCAAGACUGAUUAGCUUCAGAACCAACAACUUUUCAGCAUCUGCCUGAAAUACCAAAAAGGAGGAGCAAAUUAUUCAGUGACAAUAACUAACAAAAGGUUUUAAAUGAACAACCCUGUCCUGCAUAUAUGCAAAUGAUAAAGAAACACACAUCACAUAGUCUCAAGUUCAUGUGUGUUUCUGUAGGUGUUUAAGAUUGAGCACAGACCUCAAUCAUGGGGCUAUUCUUAGGAAUGUUGCAAGCCAGAAUUAUAUUCAGUCCCGUCUUUAAAACUGCAAGAACCCCAGCAUGUCAGACCAUGGAACCGGAAACGAAAAGAAAACACAAUGAUAAACUCAAACUUAUCUAAACAUAGAUUGAUAAUUUACCUAAUCUUCGAGCAAUGCUCGACCCUGUAUUAUCAGAAGCCCCACCAAGUAUGGAUGUAACACCCACUGUACUGUUCUGUGUAAGUCAAGGAUACAAAGAAGUCAGAAAUCACCAAUGUAAAGAGAGAUCAAUUGAAGAGGAAACAAACACUAAAUUAUCAACUUACAGGUCUCAUGGGUGCUGCUGCAUACAAAUGUCCCAAUUUUGCAGAGUUGCAGCCAAUCCAUGCAUAUAUCUACACUCAAAACAACGAGAAAUUAUUACCCAAUUCAGAAUUUGUUCAAACUUGUCAAAAUUAAUUAACCAUGUAUGCAAAUAAUCCGCCUAGAUUUUUCUAAGCCAAAAAGAUAACAAAUUUAACGAAUUUUCUUGCUCAAUUUCGACUUGGGCAGUUCAAUUCAACAUCAAAAUGGCCAAAAACUUCAAAAUAAAAUUGAAUUGAAAGAGGGAGGAGGGUAAGGAAGAUAACCUGCUUGGGAAGGCGCAUGAUUUGGAAGUGGAAAGUAGUAUCGUUGACGACUUCAGUGAAGCACGUGAUCUGCACGCCACCAGCAUCGUCUUCGUUGCUGUAGUAGCUGGGAGCAGCCGGUUCUUUGUCUUUCGAAAUUUGAGCAGAGCUCAUAGCAUGGUUUAGAGCACCGAGGUCUAGAUCUUCUCGAGCCAUUAUUUGCAGACACGAGCAGAGUGAGACUGUGAAUUGGAGAAAUGAGCGGGGUCAAUCUCUCAAGGGUUUUGGACCCCUCUUUUUUUUCUUGCUUUUUUUAUUUUUUACUUUUUAUAGCAGGUGCAGUUGUUUUGUUUUUGCUUUUUUGUCAGGCGAAGCUAUAGUCUAAACUACAGAGAAAGAGAGAGUUUAAAUCUAAGUUUCUCUCGUACACACACAAAAAAAAGUGUUAUGGGCUUCGAAUCUGAGACCUCUGAUAUGUAAGUUAAGGCACUUUUUAACUGGACUAAACUCCAUUUUUUGUUUAUACUUCAUAUAAGAAUUCUAUAGUGAAGACCUUAUAUAUGACCCUUAAGUGAGGCCAAUUCUCUUUUUUGGUGAAGUCAUUCUAUGGUGAGGGCCUUAUAUAUGAUCUUUAGCUGAGAUAUUAUCUCUUAAGACAGAGGGUCUCGUCUAAAGAGCCCUCACUAUAGAAUUCUUGCUUUUUUGGUGUUUUCCUAGUCCUCCCUCUGUUGCUUGUUUGGAGUUUAUUCGGCCUCUUGGCUAUCUCUGUUUUUUCUGUAGCCUGUAAGCUCUUAGGAAGUAUUUCCAGGCACAAAAAGCAAUUUGUUUUCUUCUCUUUUCUUUAAAGAACGAAAAAAUAAAAAACAAAACAAGAGGAGAAAAUAGAGGGAGUGCAAAAGAGCAUAACUUCCAUAUUAUACAUUAUUUUUUUCUUUUUGCUGUCGAAGAAAAACAGUUUACAAACAAUUAUACAAAAAGAAUUGCUUCUAACUACAAUCAAUGGAUUACAAUGAGUAGCUUGGGCAACCCCCCCGCACCCCUUUCUUUCUUCACUCAAACCUCAGGAUACAAACUUAAAAGGGGAAAUAUAAAUUCAAACCAAAACAAUGGAUACAAAAUAUACAGCAUAGUUUGAAAUAUAAUUAAAUUGCCCUCCUUGGCAAAGUUGGGCAAUAGUGAUCAGCAACAUAUUCUCAGAUAGCCAUCUUCUGUACCCACAAGAAACAAUCUUGAGAAGGGUAAAAUACUUAUGCUUGACAACACUGAAAAGUUUCUUGCUCCAUGAUCAGCCAUGUAGAGUUUUUGGCAUGUAACAGCCUGCGGCCCAUCCUGCCAAAUGGUUUUCAUGUCAUGCAAAUUAGAUAUGUGCUUAACAAGAAAUGGUGAUAAAGUGCAGUGUUGUUUACCUCAUCACCAGAUUUGGAUAAAGAAGAAAGUCCAAUUUUAUUUCUGGCAAUCGAAAUAACAUCUUGGCCCCACACAGAAAACGAAGAUACGCCAUCCGUAUGACCCUUAAGAAUUGUGGGCUGAGAUGGCCAAUUCCUGCAUAAGGAGUUAAGUUUAACGAGAGCUUGAUAGUGCAAUAUCAUUUCCAUGAUGCUAGAAAAUAAAAAAAUAAAUAAAAAGUACUGGAUCAAUUUAAUGCAACACAAUUUGGGCUCCGAUCCUCAUGAACGUCUAAAACUCACAUAACAUAUAAGUAAACACAGGGAAACCCAGGGAGAUUGCUCCAUCCAAAUUAUUUGAAAGUUAUCAUUAAAUAAUGUCUGAAAUUACCUUCUCAAGUCCCAAAUUCUUAAAGUCCUGUCAAGAGAGCUGGACACAAGUAAAUGGUCCUCUGGUGCAGCCAACUACAUGAGUAAAUGGUAAAUUAGUGAAAUUAAACUAAAGUGAGGCUUUUCUCAAACUUUUUUGAAAUACCUUUGUCACGUAUCCAUCAUGAGCCUUCCAAGAGGCAAUAACAUUGCCACUCCUUGCAUCAAAUAACCUACAAUGACCAGAACUCAAUCCAGCUGCAAUCCAAGAUGGUGAAGAAGCUCCAUCUGGUUGCAUUUUGUCAGACCCACAGGAGCAUAUGGUAGAAACAAGGGAAGGAUAACCAGACUCAGUAGAAUCCCCCCUCCAAAGGUGAAGCUUUUGUCCUCGGACAACGUCAAUGAACCUGUAAGAUUGAGAAAACAUUAAAACCUAAAACUGCACGAAACGUUUCCUGGCCUAUAUCAGCUUGUAAUGGGAUAUCUGUGCAACACUAUGUAUUUACCUGAGAGAACCAUUUCCAGUGCCAACUACAAGCUUUUCACCAAAUUCUGUCUGAUGCAUACAAGUAUACAAGCUACCAUCAAAUGCGCCGGUCAGUAUUCCACCGGACAGUGUAUUGGAAUUGAGCAUAUUGACCUGGUCCACAUUGACCCUGGAGGAAGAAGAUGGAGGGCUUGCACUAUGUGCAGAAUCCACAGAUGGUUCAGAAUAUACUGAAAUUAAUUUCCCAGUUCGGCUAUUCCAAACAUGUAUUGUCCCAUCACAAGACGCAACUCUUCCACUAGAUGACAAGACACAAAUAUCGUUCACAACCUAAGAGCCACAAAAGCAGUUAGAGACAUGUGCAUGACCAUAACUAUCCAAAAGCAGAACCAAACUCGGAUCUGAAAUAUGUGCAUGACCAUAGUUCCAUGGCAAUUAUCAAUGUGAUUACGAGGAAUCACAUAGUAUGGAAGGUUUCAAUUUAAGCACAUGAGAAUAGUCUCAACAGAAAAAGGCAAAAAAGAAAACAAAAAGAGAAAAAGUAAUGCGGAAUAGGAUAAACAAACCUCCUCAUGGCCAUAGUAUCCGGAUACACAAUUAAUUCUAGUCAGCUCCCAUUUCUGAACAGUUCCUUUGAACCCUGCACCAAUCCCUGCAGUAAAAACCGUACAUUCAUCUGGACAGACGGCUAAAUACCGUAGGGCCCCAGGAUGCGCACGGACUGAGUAUAUGACAGAUGCUCUGAUCUUCCAUGGAUGUUCAUCUUUCACACCCCCAGCACGCCCAAGAAAAUCAGGCCCAUCCCAGCUAGCAGCUGGACUAGGGAACCAAAACCAGGGCUCAAAUUUUAAAUUUGAUGUUGCUGCAUGCAUUUCAGCUGGACUCUGAUGCAUUUCAAAUAACCGUUUUUGAGGCAUCAAGUUUUUGGCACUUCUAGACCCUUGUGAUUGCGGAAUUGACCAUCCAACCCCAUUGAGCAACAGCUUAGCAGGACUGUAUUCAGAAGUUGAGCCCUUUCUGAAUGCAUUUCUUUUACUGAGUACAGUGUCUGAACCACUUCGAGACAAUUCUCCUGUGUGUUCCCACUGAAUCAAGACAGGUUCAGAAUAUGAAGUGCAAAAGGUGUGGGUAUUGUAUUGGUUGUCCAUAUAUCUUAUCUGUGUCUGUGUGUGUAUUUAUGUAUGUUAAGAGGGAGGGAGGGAGUACACGUGAAAGAAAAACCCUCAUAUUAAUGAAAUGGUUAAAAGAAAAAUGAUUGUGUACCUUCCAGUUAUGAUACUGUAGGAGAUAUUGCUCAAGUAAUAACCAUGUUGCACAACACUGACGAAGCUUCUCUAUGCCAAGAAGGGAUGCAAAAGAAGGAUACAAAAGCAACCUGCCAACAGCCUAGCAAAUUCAACACAUAUUUGAGGAGGAAUAGAACAUGUGCAAAAAUUAUAUUCCAGUGUAAUCUAGUAAUUAAGCAGAUUAAAUGAACUGAGAAAAGCACUUACACAAGGUCCAUACGACUUUCAAUCAGAGCCCCAUCAAUUUUUGGCUUUGAACCCUUCAACCUUCUGCCAAAGGAAGUAGAAGCAUUGGCAGUUUUUGGUGAGAAAGCAAGCUCAUCAAAUAGCUCUUUAAGUUGUGGCAAAACAUGCAAUGCUGUCAAAUCCGGUCCUAUCCGCUGACAAAAUGCCAUUAGGGUUGUAGCAGCAACCUGGACAAGAGAGGCAUUAUAGCAUUAUGGGAAAUUACAAAACACUGGCUAGUAUGUGAGAUGCUUGAAUGGGAACUUUUGGGGUAGGAUGGAGGUAGAAGGUAUGACACAGGUAGGAUAUAGAAAAAUGCAGCCUUUGCAUCUGGGGGACACUCAUUGGACUUUUAAAAUAUAUGUAUGUGCAUGCAGGAACAUCACCUGAAGCACUCUAUAUUCUAAACUUGUCUGCAUAAGAACCAGAACAUGCAGGCAACUUUUAUCCUGCAAAAUAUAAACAUUCUAUUAUUUCCAAGAACACUCAGUUUUCAAAUUAAAUUAAUAAGAAUCAAAUCCCAUACUUCAAUUAGCUCCUUUGCAACCACCUCCCUUGGCAAGAAUGCAACUAGGCCAUCUAUUGUCAUUAAACAAUCAAUAAGUGCGAAAGCACUCCAGCUGUGGACAGGCUCAGGUUUAUUGAUACGUGAGAUGUCAAUGCAGGAAUGAAAUACAUGUUUUAGCAAUGGUAGCAUCUGUCUGACGAUGAAGCUCUCUCCCAAUAGACCACCUGGAAAUUGAAAACAUAAAACGCUUACAAGAAGAACGUGCCAAUUCCAGGAAACAUUAUUUCACAAUUCAUUGAACAAGAAUACCAAUUCGAACCAGCACGUCAAUUCCAUCACUACUGAGACCUUUCCCAAAGCAUUGAAUCAGAGGCAAGAUUGUCUGGGGCAAGAAUGAUAGUUAGCGUGAUAAUCCCAGUGAAAAAAAUUACACUUCUAUGAGUGUUUGAAUGUCUUUGUCUAAGACAGAUUUGCAUAUUUUUUUUUUAUUAAAUCACAAAAGCAAGAGUUUUCGGGUCUGUUUAACCUGAUGAGUGGUAAUAGGUAUACCAAGCUCUUCACUUGAGCCAAUCAGCAGCACGGAAGCGGCAGCUGCUGAACUCUUAUGAGCAGCCGCAUACAGGUUCAAAAUCACAAGAGGAUGUACAGUUUCUAGAUAUGCUUGUUUGCCAGUUUGAUUCCAUAUCUCUUGAACAAAAGAGUCUUGUAGAAUAGAAACCUUCAGGUGUGAAUAACCUGUAGUCUGAAACACAGACCUCUAUAAGAAAGAGGUUCAAAAGAAAGUUCCACAUAAAAAUGAAAAAAUAAAGCUCAAAACUAGCCUGUAAAAUCCUCUGAAUGGCGGGCAAGACUAUUCGUUUCACUGCUUUAGGUGUCAAAUUUUUGAUAAAUUCUUUCAGUAAUGUAUAGGCCCAUUCAGCUUCAGUAUCUGAUAAAGGAGUCACCAAAAGCGAUAAGCAAUAAGGAGCACACAUUUCAGCAGAAAAUGUUCCCAUUGCCUUCAGGACUCCUUGCUUUGCAAAAUUCGCAGCAUAAUGAAGGCAGGAUCCACCUUUAGCCAGAAGCUGAAGGGGGGCAAGAAACAAGUAGGAUGCCUUGACUGUGGUAGGAAAAUAAGGUGAUUCCAAAAGACACUUAGCCGAUGGUCUCCUAAUUUUUGUUACCCAGAGAGAGAGAGAAAGAGAGAGAGUGAGAGUGAGAGAGGGCAAGGGAAAAUAAGAAUAUCUCAUUGUAUUCACAACCUGGAAUAACAUAUAGUAUCGAAAUUAAAAAUGAGAAUAAGUAAUACCUCAUGCAAUCCUUUUGAAUGCAGGCUUCGACAAGUAAUCUGGUGUGAGGAGGAAGUUCAUGUAUCAGUCCAGGUAAUAAACCACUGUCCAAGUACACGGCCAACGAGGUUGGAUCAAAAAGUGGCUUCCUCAAAUGAAGUUCUGCUAAGAGACAACCAACAGAAAAUAUGUCCCUUGCAAUUUCUUCAGAAAAUGUCUUUGAACAUGAUGAUUUCUGUCUCCAAAGCAAAAGCUCUUGAUAUCCACUGGAACCUUCAUCCAACACCUCAACAUGCUCAAGAAGAUAAUUUGUAUCAAUAUGUCGCAACCACUGGUUUUUCUUGGUGUCAGAUAGAGUUACACUUUUCUUAACAUACUCGCCCGAUGACUCUUCUACAGGAGCAAUGUCCUUCAUCGAGUCUAGAUGGUAGCCAUAGAGGGCACUCAAAUGCAUAGCAUGUUCACAAAAGGCAGAUGCAUCUUCUAAAUCUUGCAAGUAAGCAGUUUCAAACAGGACAGAACUCUCACUACUUAAUUCAUUCAUUUUCCCUUGAUACAAAGCUGACCCGUUGGUGCUAUCACAUGGUUUCGGUAUUGCACCUCGACGCAUAGGGUGAGGUUGAGUAAAAAGCUGACGGCGUCCCGUUGAUCUUGGCAUCAUGGGCUCUGAUGAAGGAAGCAUUACAUUCUUUGCAGCAACAGCUGCCUGACCUAACAUCUUGUAACCAAAGGUGAUAUCAAUCCAAUGAUGGAGUUGGCGUGAAACCCGGUCGCUUUCUAAAGCAUCACGAUGCAAUUUAAUGAAUUCCUCAGGACCACAUGCCCAUGAAGGUACAGCCAAGUCAGUCAUACCAGCAUGAAGUGAAUGAAAAAUUUGGGGAUCGCAGUAAAACUCUGGAAUGCACUCAUCAGGGGUCCAUUGAUAGAGUCUUUGCAUGGUAGAAGGAUAUUCAUUAGGUUCAUAGACUGAGCGAACAGCCAUACGUAGGACACUCAAAGGUAACCUCCUUGCUUUAUAACUGCAGACAGCCAAUUCAGAAAGACAUUCAUCAGAUACAUGAUGUGGGAACUCUGAUGUUGAAUAGGUGAAGUCCAACUGUUCAUCACCUUUAGCCAACCUCCAUUUACUCUUGUUUAGAUCCCGCCACCCUGCAUCUGAAUUCUCAUCAGGCUUCAUGCUAAAAUCUAUUACCCAUGGCAUCACUGUGUGAAAUGUGUGGUCACCCCACCUUCGCCCAGCUAAUCUAUUCAAGAUGAGCAGAUACUCAAAAUUACUAAUCUCUCCCCUCCACCAUUGAUUAAAGUCACGAUGCCAGUCUAUAGAUGGGGAAAGCUUCAAAUCAGCAUAAAGACCUUGAGAAGGACAACCAGUUAUAGAGCACCCUACCUUUUCAGGUAUAAUAGUUGUGCAUCUAUUACCUCUAGAACUUGGAUUAAAUCCUACCCCGGGCUUAUCACAAAUACACAGCCAAGACCAGCAUGAUUCGGUAAGCAUCACACUGGAUGGACAUAUAUUGCCAUGGGAAACCCCUAAACCAUGAAUAUAAGCUAGAGCCGAGAGUAACUGAUAUAUUAGAAACCUUAUAUGCCAAUCAGACUUUAAGGCAUCGGGACUAUAAUGGAGAAUGUUUUCCAAGGUAUGUGGAGUUUUGGGAAGAACUAUAUCAAUAUACAUGGAUGCCUUAACCAUCCCAAGUACGGGAGCAAUAUUUGGAUGCCUCAGUGAGCCAGGGAACUGAUUCUCAUCAAACGAUGGUACCCCAAGUAAGUUAAGAAAAUUUACACUGUCUCUUCCUGAAGCUUUCCCUUCAAUCAAGAGACUAAGCGAGCUCAAAAUGUGAUCUUCCAGAGACCUGGACAAAAAUUCCGAAGCAAGCUCUUCGAAAAUGGAGUCUGAACAAAUGCCAACGUGAGUAAUCGGUGCCAACCCGCUGAUCACCCUCGAGCAAGAAAACCUACUGGAAUGGUUACAGGUAGAACUCUGUAGAAAUGUUUUCGUGCCACCAUUUGACAAAGAAUCCAACUUUGGUUUUUGGUCAUUGUUAACAUCUGAACUAACUUCCUCUUCAUCUCGAAUCACUUCAGAGGAAGGGAUCGUAUUAGCAAUCACACUAUCACUGCAGCCUUCAGCAUUAUCACCUAUAUAUUCAUUACUGAAAAGAAAAAGGCAAAAACCCAAACGUUUCUCAUUCUCCUUGAUCAUCUUAACAAUAAGCAAACAGACUAAUUUCGAUUCGUUUUAUACAUCACCAAUGUGCUAUGAGUAUCGUUGCAAUAUUAGUAAUUAUAUCACAAUUAGAAGAAGAAGAAAAAAAGUGAAAUUGAUUGAUCUUACACAUAUUUGGUCAAGCAAUCUUGUUCAUGACUGGGCAGGUAGCUUAGCAAAAACUGAGGAGCUGAAGCAGUUUGCCCACUUGAAUUCCACAACUGCAAAAACCAACUGCUUGAGCAUUGAGCUUAUUUAUACAAACAGAAACAAAUGCAGAGAGAUGAGAGAGAGAGGGGGGGUGGGGGUUGGAGUUGGAGUUGGACCUGAACGACGGCAGUGGAGCCGAAAGGGAAAGCGGAAUCGGAGAGCCCGUAGACGAAAACGAGCUUUUCGGAGAAGUCGGAUUGAAUCCGACGGUGGAGGCAGUCGAAGCACAUUUCGUGCGCCAUGUUUAGAAUUCUUCCUCCUUCGGUUCUUCUUCUACUUGGAAAUUUCUUCAAUUUUCUUCUUCAUUUCUUUCUAUCUUUCUUUCUUUCUUUCUUUCUUUGGAGCUUUUGGUAUCUCUCUUACCAGUUACCUACUUCGCUUCAGCGCUUUGAUCGACAGGUGCGCGCUACUGGGUUAAUAACUGGAAAAACAAACCAACCCCCCUAAACACUUCAACGCCUCGUCACUUCUGUUUUUUCGUUUUCUUUUUUCUUUUUUCUUUUUUUCGUUAAUUCACUUAUGUACGAACACGAAGUUGUAUUUACCUUCCUACCCACCUUACGGAAUAAAGUUGUGUUUUUAUUUUUAUUUUAUUUUUUUAAAGUAUGCAACAAAAGAAAAUAUAUUGUACAUUACUAAAUAAUGUUCCAUUCUUUCGAUCAACCAAAAAAUAUGUUGCAUUCUACUAAGAAUACAGGAUUCGAACUUGAAAUUUCUGCCUCUUUCAAGAUUGAAGUUAGAAGUGUCACUAAACCAAUUGCUGGUUAGUAACUAUUUUGUAUUUUUAUUGUUUGGGAAAGUCCUUCAAUUUCUCUUACCCUUUCGAUAAAAGAAAAAAAGUUCCCUUUGCACUUAGCGAAUUACUCAAUACAUCAGUCUAGUAAUUGACUGAACAUCAAAAGAUGACGAGCCAUUAGAAUGACAAUUAGGCAAGUCGUAAACUUGAACACAUUAAAUUCAACGUAAUAGGGAAUUCUCCACUAAGCAAUUAAGUUAAGAAUUAGUUACAUAUUUCUAAUGGGAUAAAAAUAAAAAAUAAACCUAAAGAAAAUGGCUCACAUCCUCAUUUCUUGAUGAUUUCCAUAAUUUUCUCAUUUUAUUAUUACUUUUUUUUUUCUUUAAACUUCAAAAAGGUGGAGAAAAAGGAAGGGUGGGAGGGAGAGCAACCAUUGAUUUCUAAACAAGAACAUGAACACUUAAAAACAAAUGGAAUGUAUCAGUCAGAGACUCACAAAACUAGAAAGAUCGGAAAGUUUAAAUUAUUUCGGCCGUGGUCUCAUCUUCCAAAGACAAACUCACAAUACACACAUUUUUUUUGGCCAAAUCAUAAAACACACACUCUGAACCUCCAAAACUCAUAAAAAGAGCUGAAAAUAAGAAAUUCUUUCUUAUUCUUCACCCAUGAUGCACUCAAUUGCUUGCUUGCAAAUUCCAGUCAUUGUUGCCUCGGGUCCAUAAACCUGCAUUGCGAAUAGAACAAGCAAAAAACAUUCAUUUAGUCAAGCUGCUCAUUGAGAAUUAGGCUUGUUAGAACUGGUAUCAUAUGACAAAACCAGAAUUCCAUUGCAUACCUCAAGAGGAACUCCAAGUUCCUCUCCCAACGCACGCAUCUUUGCCAAACCAGUUUGAUAAUUUGGACCGCCCCUUCUCACGAAGAUAUGCAUUCUUGCUGCUUUUAGCUUGGAUUCCUUUCAUGUCACAAAAGAUAUAAUUUGAGCAUACAAAACAAGAUGAAACCAACAUAGCCAAUCUCUUACAUAUGAAUGUCGGAACGUGGCGGUACCUUCUCUCUGAGGGCUCUAAUGAUUCCAUUAAAUGUAGCAGCAACAUCUGUGAAAUUAGCUAUACCACCUCCAAUAAUAAGAGCUCUUUUCUGACCAUCUGGAUCAGCAGUUGCACACUGCAAGAUGAGAACUCAAGUAGUCAGGAGAAGUAAAUGAGUGCCUGCGUGUAAGUGUGUGUGUGUGUGUGUGUGUGUGUGUGUGUGUGUGUGUGUGUAAGUGUGUGUGUGUGUGUGUGUGUGUGUGUGU
RNAcentral lists this long non-coding RNA (75304 nucleotides) under Prunus persica (peach). Its description in RNAcentral is "long non-coding RNA (PPER_LNC000341)". Lineage: Eukaryota; Viridiplantae; Streptophyta; Magnoliopsida; Rosales; Rosaceae. The record is from RNAcentral.